RNAcentral lists this long non-coding RNA (45273 nucleotides) under Citrus maxima (pomelo). RNAcentral describes it as "long non-coding RNA (CMAX_LNC000887)". Lineage: Eukaryota; Viridiplantae; Streptophyta; Magnoliopsida; Sapindales; Rutaceae. The record is from RNAcentral.
GGCCUCUGUUCCAAAAACUUCGUUUCAAGCUACAAUUACGGGACUCAGGUGGUCGAGUUGACGGAUCGAGUGAUCAAUUUAAAGAAAGACGGAGAAAAAAUUGAAGUCGUUGUUGAGAAGGCGCCGGAUGGUGCAGCAAUUGAAUUACCUCUUGAUCACACAGUUGUUGGUCAAGAACUAUUACUUGAUCAAGUUUGGAGAUGUAUCACUGAUCAGGAAAAUAACAGGGGAAUUAUCGGCUUGUAUGGUAUCGGGGGAGCCGGCAAAACUACCCUUUUAAAACAAGUCAACAACAACUUCUGCCAUCAACAGCAUAAUUUUGAUGUUGUUAUCUGGGCGGCUGCGUCAACACUUCAAGAUGACAUUGGAAAAAGGAUUGGCUUUUCAGAAGACAGAAACUGGAAGGAAAAAAGUUUAUAAUUAACGAAAGGGCCUUUUUCUUUUUUUAAAUCCCGCUAAAGGUUAUAAUUAACAACAAAUUAAUAAUAGAAGAGAGAGAAAUACCAAGUUCAAUAUGGUAAUAUUUUAUCUUCCCUUAACUGCUCCCCUUUGGCUUAUAAUGCGACCUUUAUACUCGUUGACAAAAUUGUAUUUGUCGCUUAAGUCUUGUUUGUUUUAAAAUGCUGGCAUAUUUAUGGAGUGGGAACUAGGGAUGGCAAUGGAGUGGAUUUGAUCCAAGAUCCAUGUGAUCCAAAUCCAAUCGGAUCGGAUUUGGAUCGGUUUAAAAUGGAUUUGGAUAUCGAUGUGCGGAUCUAAGACAGAUAUGGAGCAGAUAUGGAUCUAUCUUAAUAUCUAAAUCCAUAUCCAUAUCCACUCAUCUUUUAAUUUUAUUUUAUUUUAAAAGUUUAUUAAUAAUUGUGGAAUGAUAAUGAUAAUAAAUUUUAUUCAUAGCAUAUUAGUAAUAUUUACCAUGAAUUUAAACUCUUAAAACUUAAAGGUUAGUUUUGUAAAUUUAAAGGUCAGCCAGCCUCAAAACAUGUACAUGCAAUAUUCAAAUUGCAAUCCAAGUAAUAUAACCUGGUAAUAUAUUUUAUCAUAUUGGCCAAAUAAUUUUUAAGGAAUAUAGUUAUUCAUAUAUUUAGUCAAAUGUGGUCAUAAUAAAAAUAAUAAAUGACUGAAUAUAAAACAUAUUUAAUUUAUAUAUCAUUAUCUAAUGUUGUAGGAAUGAGGGUAGGUGUAUCGUGAAUACUAGAAUGAUGAAGGAGACAAUAGAAUAUUAGAUUGAUCUUACUCCUGCAAUUACUUCUGAAUGAUAUUUUAUUAUCUUUCUUAUUUGUUGUUUUGGUAUAGAAGUAUAAGCUACAAUAUUUAUUAUAUUUUUGAGAAAAAUUAUAUAAUUUAUUUGUUAUCAAUACAUUUUAGCCUUCAAUUUUCAAUCUAAAAAAUUAUUACUUUUUUAUUACGGAAUUUUAGAAUUCAUGACGGAUCUAGAGCAGAUUUGGAUUUUAAUUUUUUUUCGGAUUUGGAGCAGAUAUAGAUAUUUAUUUCUUUUUUGGAUCUGGAUAUGGAGCGAAAAAUAUGGAUUCAUAACAGAUCUGGAGCAGAUACUGAUCUUGAUUUUUAUUAUGGAUUUGGAUCUGGAGCAGAGUAGAUCCAACCCAUAUCUGCCCCAUUGCCAUCCCUAGUGGGAACCCAGAUGCUGAACUCAUAGUAAAUAUUUAUUUAAUUUGUUAUAAUUACAUUUGGUGGGAUAAUUUUAAAUAUUAAUUUAACAAGAUAGUGAUGUUUGCCUUGCCCUACAUGAAGAAAAAUAAGUAAUUAAAGAUUUUUCUUUUCCUUUAUAUUAGUAAUAGAUUUCAAAUGGAAAACAGACAAAUUUCAUUUUUGUUUCAAUAAUUACCCUAUCACUGUGUGCGUGCGUGAUCACAUAAUUUUGUACUACCGUCUGUGGAAUAACUUUAGGAAAAGAAAAUUAAUUUUUUUUAAGUAAUGAUAAAUAUUUUAAAAUUUUAUCUUAAAUUGUUUUCUUCUCUUAUCAAUUUUUUUUUUCUCCUAUCUUCCAAUGAAAGUGCAGGACCUCAAUUAUUUUAAUAGAGAUGUAGUAAUAAAUUAUUAAUGAAACAUGUCAAAUCCAAUGUAUAGAUAAUAAUAAAAUGAGGCUAAUGCUAAGUUACAUACAUGUAACUUAGGGGAUCCAUAAAAUAAAUAUACAUGGUUUCAAAAAAGUUAGCACAUGCUUGUUACAAAUAUAAAACAUUAUCUUAAAAGUCUCUGAACUUUUGUGUUCUCUUUAACAUUUUUCUCUUAUGUUGUUUUUGUACUAUAUGGAUACAAGAGUGCGUUUGGCACGCUGUAUUAUAUUAUGUUGUAUUGCAUUAUUUUAAUGCAGGUGUAUUGCAUUAUGUUGUGUUGCAUUAGUAAUGUAUUAUAAUAAUGUUGUACAAUGUUUGGUACUAUAUUGUACUGUAUUAAUUUUUAAUUAUAUUAUAUUUGAUAUUGCACUAUAUUGUAUUAAUUUUUUGUGACUAAUUUAAAUUAUAUAUUUAGAAAAUACUAAUGAAUUGUGCUAAACAAUCUAAUAAUUAUAUAUUUUAUUAAUUUUUAAUUAAUAUUAUUCAAAUUUAUUCAUAUUUAAAUAUUAUUAUUAGUUAUAUUAAAUUAUUUAAAAAUAACUAGUUUAAUUAUUUUAAUAAAUUAAAUAAUAUUAUAUUAUAUUAUAUUAUUUAAGUAUUUAUUAUUAGUUAUAUUAACUUAUUAAAAAUUAAUUAAUUAAAUAUAUUAAUUGAUAUAAUUUUACAUAUUAAUUAAUAUAAUAUAAUUAAAUAAUACAUUUUUUAGUUGUACAUUUACUAUGAUAAAAAUUAAAAUAUAAUAUAAUAUUAUUAAACAAUAAAUUUAUUAAUUUAUAUUAAAAUUAUAAUGUAAAAAUAAUAUUAUAUAAUAUAAUAUUAAAUUAAAAAUUAUAUUCAUUUAUCAUUAUUACAAAGUAUAUAAAAAAAAAAAAAAAAGAGGAAGCUAAAACUAAAGUGGUAACUGGACGCAUUAGCUAAACCCGACUAUAUGUCGGGUUUAGCUAAUAUAGCCAUUUGGUACCCCAAACAUGGGGCUGCAUUGCUAAUGUAAUGCAAUCCCAGGUAAAGAGGGGUACCAAACAACCCCCAAGUUCACUUAAUGUAACAUAACAUACUUUUAUAUAUAUAUGUAUAUAUAUAUAUAUAUAUAUACACACUACGUGGAGGUGAGCUCCUUAAGGUGAGAUUUAUCAAAAUUAUAAAUUAUUACAACAUGAAAUUUAUUCUUAUUUAUAAUUGACCUAAUAUAAAUUAAGAUCGUUACUUUUAUAGCUACAUGAAAUUAUUCUUAUAUAAAAUAUCACUACAUAAAUGUUUUAUUGCAAUAUUGAUCUCUCUUUUUUCUUUAUUGUAUUUAUCUCUUCAUAAUCUUUUCCUUUUUAUUAAAAAAAAAUCAAAUAAAAGAUUCAUCAACAUCUCAGUCCAACAGUCUACCAGCGAAAACGAGUGUCCAUGCUUUUGAACCAAGGCCCAAUAUGUGAGGGAGAGAUUGUUGGGUUGUCUUAUAUCGGUUGUGAACUAGGAUGGGAUUGAAUGAGACCCAAAACUGCCUAACAUGAAUUCUAUCACUGGGAUUUUUACCCAGUAUAACAAACAUAACACAACGAAUUAUCAAUUUAUCACCUAAUGGCUCUAACUUUAGCGAUGAUCACCUUACAUGAACAUGAAAAUUAAUCCCAUUGUUUAACUCAACACUGACGAUAAUCACUUAAACUCUUAUGCACCGAAGGAUAUACUCGCUACAGGGAAUCUUAACUCAUAAAGAUGCUCCCACAUCUUCCAUUAAGUUUCCAUCGAACAACUAUUCAUAUCAUUCGAUGAAAAAUUAAUUUUAGUGAGGGCCAAAAGAGCACGAGUGAUCCAAACCACUAAACAACAUCAUAACCAACACAAAAUUCAUACUAAACAAACCAUUACCAAAACAGCAAAGCUAGACAUAAAUUUGAACAGAUACACAAGCUACAUUCAUUACCAUAAUGUAUCGACUAAAUUUCCAAGCUCUCCUGUGCUGCUUGUCUAACUGAUUCAAAUCCACAUAGAUAAAUUUAAGCACAUUAAGUUUUCAAACUCAAAUCAAACAGCUUUAAAAGUUACUUCACAAACAAUGAAUUUCAUUUUCGAAAUACAAAGAAUCCGUUCAGUUUAAAACAAUAAAAAAUCGUCUACGACUACUCAACUCAUGUAUUAUAACUAAAAAAACGAAGGAUACCCACAAAAAUUAAAGAUAAAUUACCAAAAACCCAAAAAACUCAAGCCAAAAUUGCCAAAAAAAAAAAAGCGAGAGAAUGGAAAUUGGGGUACCAGGGGCGGGCGAGAGGAAACGAGAAGAGGAAGAAAGAGGGGUUUUAGAGAGAGUGGGAAUUAGUGGAGGCAAAAAUGGAGAGUUUUGCCUCCACUAAUGAUUGGUGGGGUGGUGAUGGCGGUGGUGGGGUUAAUGUUCUGGAGGGUAUGCUGAAGAGAGGUCGCAAGAGAACCUCCAUAGCCUUUAAAGAGAGUUGAGUUGCUGCUUUCUUUUGCCGUGGAUGGAGAGAGAUUAAGGGAUUAGAAUUCUGUAUGGAAUUUACUUUUUAUUAAAUAAAAAAUUAAUGUUAAAAUCAUUUUAUUUUAUUUUUUUAUCUAGUUAUCAUUGACUUAAUAUUUUGGAUCUUCAUCCAAAGUAAAGGCACAAAAUUUUUAUUCUAAAUAAAUAUUCUCAAUAUAAAUUUAUCACUUAAAUAAUAAAUGAUAAGAUUUUAUAUUAAUUCUGUCAUUACUGAAAUGAAUUACAAAUUUUAUAUGACGUGUAAACGUAUCAUUAUAUUCUUGAUAUUUGACAUCUUGACUAAAGCAACAAAUGUAUCAUAUUUUUAUUUUGGUAUUGUGGUUCUCUAAAAAUACCCUCACCAAAUUAGCUUAAUUCUUUUCAUUGUACCCAUUGCUUCUCUUCCUCUUUUCGUCAACGACAAUGGGUAACUUAAUCUCAACCUUCUUACCAGCAGACUUAUUUGAUCGAACUUCAAACUGCGUUGGUGAACAAGCAAAAUAUGUAUGGGGUCUCGAAAAAAAUCUUCGGGUCUUGGAGACUGAAUUGCACAAAUUGACUCGAGCAAGGGCCGAUCUGAAGACCAAGGUUGAGGUCGAAGAACAACGACCUCGAACCAGACGAACGAACCAGGUCGCAGGGUGGCUUGAAGAUGUGCAAAAUCUGGAAACUGAAUUUACCGAGCUGGAACGAGUUAGAGCUCAUGAAAUGGAUAGAUUGUGCCUUGGAGGCCUCUGUUCCAAAAACUUCGUUUCAAGCUACAAUUAUGGGACUCAGGUGGUCGAGUUGACGGAUCGAGUGAUCAAUUUAAAGAAAGAUGGAGAAAAAAUUGAAGUCGUUGUUGAGAAGGCGCCGGAUGGUGCAGCAAUUGAAUUACCUCUUGAUCACACAGUUGUUGGUCAAGAAUUAUUACUUGAUCAAGUUUGGAGAUGUAUCACUGAUCAGGAAAAUAACAGGGGAAUUAUCGGCUUGUAUGGUAUGGGGGGAGUCGGCAAAACUACCCUUUUAAAACAAGUCAACAACAACUUCCGCCAUCAACAGCAUAUUUUUGAUGUUGUUAUCUGGACGGCUGCGUCAACACUUCAAGAUGACAUUGGAAAAAGGAUUGGCUUUUCAGAAGACAGAAACUGGAAGGAAAAAAGUCUUCAAGACAAGGCUGUGGACAUCGCUAGCAUUUUAAGCGGAAAGAAGUUUGUGUUGUUAUUAGAUGAUGUAUGAGAGCGCAUUGAUUUAACAGAAUUGGGUGUCCCUCUUCAAAAACUAAAUGAUGGGUCCAAAGUAGUCUUGACAACUCGUUCAGCUGGUGUUUGCGAUCAAAUGGACGCUGAAAAGUUGGAAGUGUAUAGUUUGGCGCAUGAUAAAGCCUGGGAAUUAUUUCAGGAGAUGGUCGAAAGAUCCACUCUUGACAGUCAUACCAGUAUUCCAGAGCUAGCCGAAACCUUGGCAAGAGAGUGUGGUGGGUUGCCGCUAGCGCUUAAAAUAGUGGGUCGAGCGAUGAAAAGCCAAAGGAAAGUUGGAGAUUGGAAACGUGCAAUUAACAAAAUGAGAACAUCAGCUUCUAAAUUCUCAGGUAUGAAGGAAGAGGUGUUUUCGCGUUUAAAGUUCAGCUAUGAUAGUUUGUCUACGGAUGAACUUCGUUCCUGUCUCCUGUAUUGUUAUUUAUAUCCUGAAGACUACGAAAUUCCUAAAAGGGAAUUGAUUGAUUAUUGGAUUAGUGAAGGAUUUGUGUAUGAUUUUGAUGAUGGAUGCGAUUUUAUUGAUGACCUUCUUCAAGCAUGCUUAUUGGAGGAAGAAGGCGAUGAUCAUGUAAAGAUGCAUGAUAUGAUUCGUGAGAUGUCAUUAUGGAUAGCGUGCACGGUAGACAAGGAGGAGCAGAACUUUCUGGUUCGCGCUGGAGUUAAAUUGACCGAAGCACCAAAGGUUGAAGAAUGGGAAGGUGCCAAACGGAUAUCUCUGACGGCAAAUGGAAUUGGAAGCCUAUCGGAAAUUCCCACGUGUCCACGUCUCGUCACUUUACUUCUGGAUGGAAAUCGGAUUGAGGAGAUUACUGAUGGCUUCUUUCAAUCUCUGUCGACUCUUAGAGUAUUAAGUCUAAGAGGAAAUUUUCCCCCAAGUACACUACCUUCAGGGAUUUCAGGUUUGGUUUCAUUACAUCAUCUUGAUCUUUCUUCGACUGACAUAACUGGGUUGCCGCAAGAGCUGAAGGCAUUGGAGAAGCUGAGAUAUUUGAACUUGGACUAUGCAUUUCAUUUGUCUAUAAUUCCACAUCAAUUGAUAUCUUGUUUUUCAAAGUUGGAGGUACUCAGGUUGUGUGGGUGCGGUCGCUUUGGUGUAAUAAAAGGGAAAGAAGGUAACGUUCUAUGUGAUGGUGCUGAACCUUUGAUGAAGGAAUUGCUGGGUUUGAAGCAUUUAAAUGUUUUAAGCUGGUCCUUCGGAAGUUCACUUGCUGUCCAAAAGUUUUUGAAAUAUCCAAAGCUGGUGAGCAUCACUCAAUCUGUAUGGGUUGAAUGUGGCACGUAUACAAGGCCACCGUUCAAUGUCUUACAUCUGGCAUACAUGGAGAAUCUUCAGGAGUUAGAACUUGAAUCCUGUAAUUUGGAAGAGAUGAAGAUUGACAGCACAGAAGAGGUAAAGAAACUUUUUCGAAAUGGUUUCCGCAAUCUUAACACAGUUGUCCUAAGGUCUUGCAGAGGGAAGGACUUAACGUGGCUUGUUUUUGUUCAAAAUCUCAAGCAGCUAAAUAUGCAGGGUUUUACUAUGGAAGAGAUAAUCAGUGUUGAAAAAUUGAGUGAUAUUUCAGAGGUAAUCGGGUCAGAGCAUAACUUUUUCCCACGACUCGAAUAUCUAACCAUGUGGCGGGGAACAAAUUUAAAGAGCGUUUACCCGAAUCCCCAGCCUUUUCCAAAGCUGAAGAAAAUUCAAGCAUUUCAUUGCCGACAGCUGUAGAAGCUCCCACUCAAUUCCAGCAGCGCGAAGGGACGUCGAGUUGUGAUGACAAUGCUAUAUUUGCUGCAGGACUUGAGUAAAAAUAAAAACAGCAAGAUUUGAUUAUGCUGUCAAUAAAAUCCUGCAAGAUUGUAGGAAAAAAAUUUGUUUUUAAAUUUUAUGAUAUCAGAUAUAUGUUAAAGAUAUGUAGGCAGAUUUUUUGGCUUUGUUUGUUUCUUUUCAUGUAUAAAUUCAAAUACUGCAAUAAUGAAUAAAAUACUGCAAUUAACAGACCCAAUUUCUAUGUGUUCUCUUUUCUUUGUUUAAAACCAACAAGGUGGUAUCAGAGCCCUUAUUCUUAAGGGACUUGUAACGUGAUUAGAGAGGCUUCCUACACUUCAAUAUGGCAGGAAAUGGUUUCUUAUCUGCUCCUCCAGUUUUCACAGGUGAAAAUUAUCAAAUAUGGGCUGUGAAAAUGGAAUCUUACUUGGAUGCAUGUGACCUAUGGGACUUGGUGGAAGCAGAUCCAGAGGAUCCACCAUUAGCUCAUAUGAGGAAUAACAGGGAUGAAAGAAAAUGGAGAUAUAAGGCCAAGACAUGCAUUCACUCUGCAGUUUCGGAGACAAUUUUUACAAAGAUCAUGACUUGUGAAACAACGAAACAGGCAUGGGAUCUUUUGAAACAAGAAUAUCAGGGGAACGUCAGGACAAAACAAAUGCAGGUCCUGAACCUGAGAAGGGAAUUUGAAAUGUAGAAAAUGAAGGAGACAUAAACAGUUAAUGACUAUAAAGACAAGUUGAUGAUGAUUGCCAAUAAAAUUAGAAUGCUUGGGGAAGAGUUUUCUGAUAGAAGGAUUGUAGAGAAGAUUUUGGUGACCUUGCCUCAGAGAUUUGAAUCUAAAAUCUCUUCACUUGAAGAGUCCAGAGAUAUGUCAACAAAGGAGAGCUUACAGAAAGGAGGAGAUAGUUGAAGGAGCAUUUCAAGUGAAAGAGGCUGAUCAAGCUCAGGGAGGCAGCAAAGAAAAGAAACAGUGGAGUAAGAAGAUUUACAAGAAGGGGGAAAGUAGCAUCAAUGAAGGCAACAAGGGCAAGCACUCCCCGUGUCCUCACUAUAAGAAAACCUCUCAUCCGCAAAAGAAAUGUUGGUUUAGGCCUGACAUUCAAUGCAGGGCAUGCAAGCAAAUUGGGCAUAUGGAGAGGGUGUGUAAAAACAAACAGCAAGAAGGACAUCAAGCUCAAGCAGCAGAACAACAACAGGAUGAACAACUUUUUGUUGUAUCUUGUUUUUCGAGUAACAGUUCGAGUGAUGAUUGGCUCAUCGACAGCGGAUGCACAAAUCACAUGUCUUUUGAUGAAUCUCUUUUCAAAGAAGUAAACAAGUCAGAAGUGUCAAGAGUUAAAGUUGGCAAUGGGCAGUAUAUUGAAGUGAAAGGUAAAAGGACAGUUGCAAUAAAAAGCUCAGCAGGUAUCAAGUUAAUUUCUGAUGUAUUACUUGUUCAUAAAAUUGAUCAAAAUCUACUGAGUGUGGGACAAUUGCUUGAGAAAGGUUAUUCUGUUGAAUUUAAGAAUAACAUGUGUGUCAUUACUGACCCAAAUGGUGUAGUGUUGUUCUCUGUGAAAAUGAAUAGCAAAAGCUUCAGCUUAAGUUGGAACAAGGAUGAAUGUAGUGCAUAUCAAUGUACUUUGAACCAGGCUGAGUUAUGGCACAAGCGGAUGGGGCAUUUUCAUUAUUCUGCAUUAGAUUACAUGCAGAAAAAUGAUCUUGUGCAAGGAAUGACUUUCAAUGGAGGAGGAGCAUCAGUGUGUAGAGUCUGUCAGCUGGGAAAACAAGCUAGAUUGCUAUUCCCUGUUAAUAAGGCAUGGAGAGCAGUUGAGAAGCUUCAGUUAAUCCACACAGAUGUUUGUGGACCUAUGAGGACUGCAUCCUUAAAUGGUAAUAGGUACUUCAUGGUUCUUAUUGAUGAUUUUAAUAGAAUGUGUUGGAUUUACUUUCUCAAACAAAAAUCUGAAGUUGCUAGUGUAUUUUGGAAGUUUAAAAAAUGGAUUGAAAAUCAAAGUGGUUGUAAAAUCAAGGUGAUUAGAUCUGAUAAUGGGACUGAAUAUACAGCUGAUAAAUUUGCUAAGUUUUGUGAAGCUGCAGGGAUUGAACAUCAGCUUACAACAACCUAUACACCUCAACAAAAUGGAGUCAGUGAGAGGAAAAACAUGACAGUCAUGGAGAUGGCUAGAUGUUUGUUGUUUGAGAAGGAAAUGCCAAAAAUGUUUUGGGCUGAGGAUGUUAAUACUGCUGUAUUUCUGCAAAACAAGUUACCAACAAAGGCUUUAAAGGGAAAAACACCUUUUGAAGCUUGGUUUGGUUUUAAACCCUCUAUUCAUAACUUGAGAAUUUUUGGUUGCAUGUGUUUUACUCAUGUUCCAGAUGCAAAAAGAGAGAAGUUGGAUCAAAAGGCAGAAUAUGGAGUUUUUGUAGGAUACAACACUCUCACCAAAGGUUAUAGAGUUUAUCAACCUUUGACGGGAAGAAUCAUAGUGAGUAGAGAUGUUAAAUUUGAUGAAACUGGAGGAUGGAAUUGGGCAACAGCUGAACCAAAGCAAGUUUAUGCAGAAGAAAAAACAUCAGAAUUGCAAGAUGAUGAUAUAAUUGAUGAUGAACCAAUAAGAGGUACCAGACCACUUAUAGAAAUUUAUCAAAAGUGCAAUAUGGUUGUGCUUGAACCUGCAGGUUAUAAUGAGGCUGCUAAAGAUCCAAAGUGGCUUGAACCAAUGGAAGAUGAGAUCAAGAUGAUUCACAAGAAUCAAACUUGGGAGUUGGUGGACAGACCACUACACAAGAAAACUAUUGGUGUGAAAUGGGUUUAUAGAACCAAACUCAAUGCUGAUGGUUCUGUAAACAAAUUCAAAACAAGGCUAGUUGUAAAAGGGUAUGCUCAACUAUUUGGUGUUGACUUUUCUGAAACGUUUGCACCUGUAGCAUGGCUGGACACCAUCAGAUUGCUUUUAGCACUUGCAGCACAAAAGCAGUGGAAAAUCUACCAGCUUGAUGUUAAAUCAGCUUUUUUAAAUGGCUAUUUGGAUGAAGAAAUCUUUGUUGAGCAACCUGAGGGUUUUGUUGCAGAUCUGAAGAAAGUAUAUUUGUUAAAAAAAGGCAUUAUAUGGCUUGAAGCAGGCUCCAAGAGCUUGGUACAGCAGGAUUGAUGAUCAUUUGCUGAACAUAGGCUUCAACAAGAGCAUGAGUGAAUCAACUUUGUAUAUUCAAGUAAUUAAUCAUGAAUUGAUUGUUGUUUCACUUUAUGUUGAUGAUUUUCUUGUCACAGGAAGCAAUGAAGAAUUAGUGAAGCAAUUUAAGGUUCAAAUGAUGCAAGCAUUUGAAAUGACUGAUCUAGGAGAGAUGACUUUCUUUUUAGGUCUGGAGAUUCAAAAGUCACAGCAAGGGAUCUUCAUUGGACAGCAAAAAUAUGCUAAAGAAGUGCCAAAGAAAUUCAACAUGGAGGAUUGCAAGUCAGUAUGUACUCCUUUAGCUCAAAAUGAGAAAUUUAGUAAAGAUGAUGGUGCUGAAAAGAUUGACGAAGCAUUAUAUAGGAGUAUUAUAAGUUGCUUGAUGUAUUUGACAGCAACAAGACCUGAUAUAAUGUUUGAUGUAAGUUUGCUGUCCAGAUAUAUGCAUUGUGCAAGUGAAUUGCACUACAAAGCUGCUAAAAGGGUGCUCAGGUAUAUCAAGGGAACUUUGGAUCAUGGAAUAAAAUUUGAGAAGGAAGACAAGCUGAUUUUGCAUGGUUUUGCUGAUAGUGAUUGGGCAGGAUCCUGUGAUGAUAUGAGGAGCACGUCAGGCUACUUGUUUAGUCUUGGUUCAAGUUGUUUCUGUUGGAGUUCAAAGAAGCAGGAAAUCGUAGCUCAGUCUACUGCUGAGGCUGAGUAUGUUGCAGCUGCUGCUGCAGUCAAUCAAGCCUUAUGGCUAAGGAAGCUUAUGACAGAUUUGAAAAUGAUUCAGGAUUAUGCAACUGAAAUCUUUGUUGAUAAUCAAGCUGCCAUAGCAAUUUCUAACAAUCCAGUGUUCCAUGGGAAGACAAAGCAUUUCAAAAUUAAAGUAUUAUUUUGUUAGAGAAGUCCAGAAGAAUGAUGAAGUAAGGCUCGUGUAUUGCAAGACUGAAGAUCAGCUAGCUGACAUUUUGACAAAGGGACUGUCAAAGUCAAGAUUUGAGUUGUUGAAGAAAAGAAUUGGUGUCUGCAGCAAAAAUAGCAAGGAGGAGUGAUGACAAUGCUAUAUUUGCUGCAGGACUUGAGUAAAAAUAAAAAUAGCAAGAUUUGAUUAUGCUGUCAAUAAAAUCCUGCAAGAUUGUAGGAAAAAAAUUUGUUUUUGAAUUUUAUGAUAUCAUAUAUAUGUUAAAGAUAUGUAGGCAGAUUUUUUGACUUUGUUUGUUUCUUUUCAUGUAUAAAUUCAAAUACUGCAACAAUGAAUAAAAUACUGCAAUUAACAGCCUCAAUUUCUUUGUGUUCUCUUUUCUUUGUUUAAAACCAACAAAUUGUCAUCGAGGGAACGAAAAAAUGGUGGGAAGAGCUACAAUGGGAGGAUCAAGCCACCCAAAAUGCUUUCUUUUCCUGUGCCGUACUUUGGGAGGAUCCUUAUUAUUAAUAUGUUUGAAUAUGUAUUUCCUUUUUCUUUUUUUUCUUGCUAUAGAGUUGCAUGAUUGUGAUGAUCCUUAUUAUUAUUAUCCUUUUUUUUUUUCACAUGAAGUUCAGUAACUACUUCCGAGAUUAAUAAGAUCCAACUCGUUUUUGGUUUAGUCAAAAACUUUUUGUGGCUCUAAAUCCUUUUUAACACCAGGCCAGGCAUCCACAAAUAUAUUGACACCAUUUUAUUUAUUGAUGUUUAUAUAACUGAAUUGAUUACAAAUUACCCUUUUUGUCCAGUGUGUUCAGAAUAUACUCUGCACAACUAACACAAAAAUAAACAUGUAACAUACUAAUCGUUUAUGUUAAUUUAUGGAGGCCUUAUUGUCCAAGGCAUAUGUAAAACCAUUUCACAUUCGGCAUUGUAAUGUUUAUGGACGGAUUUAAAUGAUGUCACACAAAGUCACAAAUAGUUAAAAAAAAGAAGGUGUUUGUUUUAAAAUGUUGGCAUAUUUAUGGAGUGGGAACUCAGAUGCUGAACUCUGAAUGGGCUGGAAUCGGAAUGGGUUAGAAUCGGAAUGAGCCGGAAUGAGAAUGGGGAAUGAGAGUCAAAAUAAGUUGUUUAUUUGAACUGUAGGAAUCGAAAUCGGAAUGAGUUAGAACCCCAUUAAUGUGUUUACUUUAUCUAAGAAUCGAAAUCGGAAUAAGUUAAGUUGUUUUAAGUUACUAAAACACCCUUAGUUGUUAAUAAUAAUAAUAAUAGUUGUCCUUUGGUAUUAAUGAUAAUAAUAAUAAAUUUAAUAAUAACAUUAUAAAUAAAUAAAUAAUAGUAAUAAUUAAUGAUAAUAAUGAAAUUAAAUAACAACUACUAAUACUACAAUAAUAAUAAUAAUAAUAAUAAUAAUAAUAAUAAUAAUAAUAAUAAUAAUAAUAAUAAUAAUAAUAAUAAUAAUAAUAAUAAUAAUAACAACAACAACAACAACAUUAAUAACAAAUAAGCAAACAAUGAAAUAAUACAAACACCAAUCUACAUAAUUUUAAUGUACAAUAAGUGGCCGAACAAUAUAAGAAAUUAAUAAUUUAAAAUAUAAAAUUAUAAUUCCCAAAACAAACAUUGUGCUCCUCUUCACCGGAUGUAGCAGAUCGCGACGAAAAAUGGCGGCAGGAUGAGCGCGACCACGGUGGCAACAGAUCGAUCGGGACCACGGCGGCAGAUCGUGACGAACGAAAGCAGCAGAUCGCAGCCUUUUGACACCCCCUCGAAGACCCUCCUUUAAAUUCCUUAUAACUCUUUAAUUAAAAUUAUUUAAAUAAUUAAAGAUAAAUUAAUUCCAUUUUAUUUUGAUGGAAAAUUUAAUUAAUACUUAAAUAAAAUUAUUCUUUUAACAUUUUUCCACCCACCUCAUUUCAUAUAUAUAUAUAUAUAUAUAUAAUUUUUAGAAACUUUUAAUAAUUUAUAAUCUUUUUAAGGUGAAAUUUAAUGAGAAGAUUAUUAAUUUUAAUUUAUGGAUUAGUAUUUUAUAAAUUAAACCAAGGUACUUUGAUAAAUAAAAAUUAAAACAAGUUUUAUAAGGAUUUUGGAGUGUACGAAUUCAGAAUAUAGAUUUUCAUGGGGACGUUGAAUAUGCUGAAGCUGAAGCUAUGAAUUUUAGAAUAAAAAUGGCAAUAGACUUUGGUUUAAUGCCAUUAAUUGUUGAAUCAGACUCGAAUACUAUUUUAAACUUGGCGAAAGGUUUUGAAAGAAGUAUGAAAGAAAUAUCAUGGUUAAUUUUCGAGAUUCGAAAUUGUAUGGUUGUGAAAGACCACUUCGAAAUCAAUCUUACAUAGAGAAGUAGUAGUGAGACCACUCAUAAAUUAGAUAAAUAUGAUGUUAACAAUUCAGGCUGUGUAAUUUGGUUGGAGGAAAUUUCAACUCAUGUAAGUCUUUUUCCUUUAAGCGAUUAAUUGAAGUUUUCCAUUUCCAAAGAGAGAUAGAGAGAGAGAGAGAGCUCAACUCAAAUGAAAGUACGAAACAAAGAGUAAAUCCUGAUAGUAGAAAAAUGAGCCAUGAGUAGAACUAUUCGCACCUUUGAAAGCCCUCAUAAAAAUCUUUCUUCAAUAUGUCCCGCUAAAUCAUUUAAAAAAUAAUAUUAUUUCUAAGGGCAGAGCUAUUUGCACUCUAAAAAUUAUUCUCAACGUUUUAUUACUAUAUACACAUAUUUAUUAAUUUAAAAAAAUGAACUAUAUUUUGUACAACUAUGAUGCCACUUCCACCUCCAAUUGAAUGUCAGAAAAUUCAAAGUUUGUCAAAAGAGGAUGGUAAAUUAAGCCCCCUUUUUUUUUUAAUCUGGAUUUGGUUGAACAUUUUUAUGUCGCAAAAAUGUUUGCUGUGUUGUAAUGCCUAAGUGUUGCAGACUAGUUUGUAAGAGUCUGAAUAAUUGUCCAUGUUACUCUGGUAUUGUGGAAUGCCAUGUAUUUUUUGGCCAAAAGAAAAAAUCAAGCAACCAAUGUAAACUUGUUUAAUAUCAUCAUAAUAUAACUGAAAAAGAAGUAAUUAUAGUCAUACAAAAAAAAUUAAUAAUUGUCAUGUCCUUAAUAAUAAUUUAUAUCAUAAAUAUUAUUGAAAUAAUUUUUUUUUAUAAAAUUAUCAGUGUUUAGUGUAAUUUUUAGAGUGUAUAUAGCCUCAUUCUAUUUCUAAACCCACAUAAGUUGAUUCCAAAAACACCCUUGGCUUACACACCAACCCCAUUUUCACAUUUUCUUCGUCUUGGGGAGCUUGAAACCCAAAUCUGAUGGCUUCAACUUUCGAAUAAUCAUUAUCUCCAUUAGAACUUAUAAUUUUAAAAGCUAUUUCCAUAAUAUUUUCAUUAGAAUUUCUUAUAACAACAUCCAACAUUGGUUAUUGAUAUUUUAAGGUUUCAUCUUAAAUAAUAAUAACAAAAUAAUUAAAAUUUUAUCAAAAUUUAAGGAAAUACAUUGUACUUUGAUAAACAAGGAAUGUCAACUAAAUAUCGUCAAAAUAAAUAAUAAAUUUUUAAGUCGAGUUUUGGUUUCACAUAAUUGUAAUUAUGGAGACUAGUUAUUCGAAUAAAAUUUAAUUUCUUCUGUUUAUCAUUGUAACUUUACAUAGGGACAAUUGCAUGAUUAUAAAGGCAGGGUUUGAUAAGGAUUUUUUGGAGGUACCAAUAGGACCACUCAUGAGCCAUGACAAAAUUAAGCCCAUGCGAGGCCCACCUAAUCCAUUUUUACAUUUAGCCAAUUAGCCUGAAGAAUAAGACGAUAAUAAACAGUAAGCCUAAAUAAUAAGAUGAUAUGAAAGUAAGAAUAAGGUUAAGAUACCAAUUUUUUAGUCUUAACUUCUUAAGUCUUAAGUCUUAAUGUAACAUGUCAUUCAUUUAUUAGACGAUAAAUUUCAUAACUUGUAAAAUUAUUUAACCACCAUCCAAUAAAUGAUUGUCAUAUCUAUUGAAAUUUAAAUUUAAAUUUUAGAAUACUUAGCAUUGAGCUGAAUCUAAACGAUUUUAUUUUCUAUUAUUUUUAUUUUAUUUUAAUUUUUUUUCACAAUCGGAUUUUUCUUUGAGACAAUAGAAAGCCUUUUGGCUUUAAGUUUCUGAAAACCAAUAAUAAAAAAUUAUCCAUGAGUUUCUGAAAACCAAUUAACUUCAAAAUCUCUUCCAGCGCUAGGAGGAACAUCUUCAAUAACUUUUUCAUGACCUUUUGGGUAAUAAAUCCCAGUUCUUUCAUGAGGAACCCAGCUACAAUUCCCUUCAUUUUCUCCCACAUUAUUAUUCAUCUGCUGGCUCCUCAUCACAUUUCCUUCUUCCGCAUUGGAUUUCAAUGCUGUUUCUCUUAUCAUAUCAUUAGAACUUGCUUUCUUUUGAAAGGAUUUCCUCAUUAUUGGCCUAUAUGUUUCAAAAAGACUUAACAAAUUAAUAAUGUAAAAACAAAGACUAAAAUAUUCAAACACUCAAAUGAAUGAAAGUAAUCUCUUUUUAUUAUUGCGUGGACAGUGGCGAAAUCAGGAUUUUGGAUGUCAUCAAUAAUAGAGAAACAACAAAUUUUAAGUAGGUUAUAACACAAGAAUAUAAACAUAUGGGGGCUACAAAAUAAAAUUAUCAGACAUAAGGAUAAAUUUAAUUGAAGACUUUCAUAUUUCUUGAUAAUGUUUUUUAACCUGAGUCCCCUGUGGAGACAUAUUGAUUCAGUUAAUAAAACAUUUAAUUCUAUGUACUUAACCAACCACUCAUAAUUAGUAAUUACAUAAUUUGAAACUAUUAGGCCUAUUUCGAACGAACUGUUUCAUAACAAAAUUAAUUUAGAUAAAGUGAAAAGAUUUAUUUACAAACAUACCAUGCAAUAAUGAAGUGCGAUUGUCAAAAUGAAAUGAUGAAAUAGCAAAGUAGAUAGAUAAAAACAUGGAGUUAAAGGUGGGAGCUCCUCUAGCAAAUGAUCCUGUCAUCUUUUUCUUCUUUUUUCUCUCACUUUCUCUCUUUCCAAACAAUGUGGGUGGAAUGAAUUGAAUUAUGAUUUAGAUAGAGAGCUCUUUACAUAGUGAAGUUAAAUAAGAGAAUAUUGUUAUCUAUUUCUCUCAUCUCUAGGGAGAUCGUUUAUUGUACGUCAUUUUCUGUUUGGAUAAAUAUUAAAUUAUAACACUCUUUCUUGAUCAUUGGGGAGCACUCAUUGCAGAGCAUGGCCUUCUUUUGUUCCCUUUUGUUUUGUUUUUGUUUUUUAGUCAUCUAAGUUAUGGGACAUGGCUUGUGGACUCAGCUUUUAGAAACUUUCCCUAGAUAAGUAGUUGAAUCUAGGGGAGGUACUUUUUAGUUUUAUAAGUGACAUUGAUUCACCUCAUGAUUAGUGGCCAGAGAGAAUAAUUACGAAAAAAAAAUUUUAAUUGUUAAUUAAUUUUGUUGAAUAUAUUAAAAUAGCCAAGUUAAAUUUAUAAAAAUAGUUUCAUAAACUCUUAAAUCCAUAAAAUUUUAAUUUUGAGGAUUACAAAAACCACACUUUAACAGAUAUACAAAAAGAUUGUAAAGAUAUAAGAUGAGUCGUUAAUAAUUGCACGUGCAAACAUCGUAUAUUCUUUAUAAUUAAUUGUGCAGAUUUUCAUGACCAAUGCACCAGAUUUUGAUGACCAAUGCACCUGGGUGCGAAAACAAAAAUUAGAACAAAAUAUAUUAAUAAGGGAAGGCCACUCUUUUGUCAAUAUAUAUAUAUAUAUAUAUAUAUAUAUAUAUAUAUAUAUAUAUAGAGUUUGUUAUAAAAGAUUACCUCAGUAUCAAACUCUCCCGAUUCAACAUUGACAUUGAUGACAGUGAAAAUCUUUACAAGAUCCACCAAUAAUCCAGGUCGAUCAGCCGUCUCCACCAAAAGCAAACUUCAAUAAAACAAAAGGUAAACUAAACAAAAAUAGUAAGGACCAAAUUAUCUGACUACUUCAGUUAUGGGCAGGAAUUGCCACUUGGGCUGGAGUAUGAGUAGUAAUAAUGUGGGACCAAAGUUUGGUGGAUAGCAAAAGCCCCAUCAUCUAGAUAAGAGAAUGAAUUAUGCAUUGCCUUCGGUUGGGGCCAUCAUCAUAGAUGCUUAUGUGGGUUGCUAUGUCCACAUCAACCUGACAAAUUCCAGCACAACAAGAUUUGAGACAAGAUUGAAGUGGGACGUUAUCCUUCCCAUAAUAACUCAUAUACGUAGUUUUUAACAUUCACAACAUGAUAUUAAUUUCAAUGGCAGGCAAAUUGAAUAUAAUGUCUUUAAAGAAAAUGAGGAUAAAAGUGAAGUAAUAUUUGGCCUAAGAGAACUCUAAAACAACUUAGUUUCCUAUUCAAAUGAUCACUAGUGAGAAGAGCCAAAAAUAUCAAUAAUCUGAAAAAUCAAAAUAAGACCAGAAAGCAAAAACCUGUUGUUUUGGAGGAUCAACGCCAAAGGCAACACCCAUUGCCAACUGGGAACUUGAUUCCUGAUUCCAUCACCAACACAAAUGGAAUAAGCUUUUGAAUAAGACAAUUCCUACAGGUGCUCCACCAAGUGAUAUCUCAAGAGAGACAAAAAAAAAUGAUUACCGGGUGAUACUGAAGUAGAUUGUUUAUAACUGUCAAACAAAUUGCCUCAAGCACCUCAGGAUCAUCAACUUUCCUACCAGUAUCACCGCACACAAGCAUCAUGACCAAAUUAAUCAAAACCACAGUGGGAAUCUAUUGCAAGAACUGCUCCAAAAAACACCGAUGGCUCUUUGGAUCAUUGAUUUUAGGUUCUAGUAUGUCCAAAAUUUUAACGAUUUCAACAUUAGUGAUAAACAUCUAUUUGCAACAGACUGAUCAUACUUGUAUAUGGAGCAUCACAAGUAGGUAUUUACUAUGCUCAUCAAAUAUAGACCAGAAGACGUUGACAACAAUUAAAGGGUAUUAGUGAAUGAAACUGCAAGCAGAGAAUACAAAUCAGCUCAGUAAUGCAAGGGCAUGAAAAGCAAAAUGCAUAUGCAUCACAAAAUUAUAGAGAUAUAUAAUUUCGCAGUCAUAUGAUGAUAUUGCAGCGGUGAAGCCGUGCGUGAGGUUAAGGCAAGCGAUGGAAUGACUUGCGUUACAAAAGAGGUAUUUGCAAUGAUUGUGUACUGGACGGAAAUUGAAUCCAUGUUUAAGAAUUUACCGCCGGGGAAAAAAUGUCAAUACAAAGUCAAUGCGAACGAAUAGUGAAGUCAGCAGUCGCAAAGGCAAAGUUCUUAACCAGAUGGACUCCAGAUAGAUUAGCGGUGGCAGUUUCACAGCUGACAGAUGAACAAAGAAUGGCUGCUUGUCAAAUGGGCUUUGGUAGUUUUCUACAACUGAACCGUGGCAAGCUAAAAAGGAAACUUUGUGGCUAGUUAAUUGAGAUGAUUGAUACUUUGAGGUACAUUUUAGAGUUGAAUGGUAUUAGCUUUCGAACAAGAUCAUCAAAGAAACUCCACCAACCAGGAAAUUUAGACUUAAUCUAUGCUCUGCAAAUUCAUAUACUCUCUAAUAUGAAACUACUUUUAUGUGUUUUGUUAUUCCGACUUGGUAACGUUGUUAUGGAAGCCUGACAACUAUUAUGUCCGUGCAAUUUUUAUUGUAUCUUUUGUUAUGUCAUGAUAUCGAAGCUUGGUUUUCUGACUCCAACUACUAAGAACUGCAGUUGCAGCAUCUUUUGAAUAUUACAUAUGUGCUUGUAGUGUCUCCACGGAUUAAAAUCUGCUAUUUAAGUUCUUCUACCGCCCCCGCUUCUUCUUUCAUUUAUACUUGCUGCACCAUUUACUUCACACUCUGUAAAGCCAUAUGAAAGCUUGUUCAUUUAUGUUCACUUGCAAUUCAAAAGCAGUGUUUAUUUCAACUGUCAAAUUGACUACUUGCACGUAUUGAUUUCAGUCGAAACAAGGUUAUUGGUCGAUCCAGAAAUUGAAUCCAUAUGGCCAUUCCAGCAUCAUUCAACCACCUAAUUUCAAAUAUAUAAAUUAAUUCAACCCACUUAAGUGAUCAAAGGCGUGGAACAAAUCAUGAAAGAUUUUUCAGCUAUCAUAAAUUCGAACGGAUGUAGUUUGUAUUCUUUCAGGCUUAGACAGAUUUUUUGCAACAUAAACUUGUAUGUAAUGUACAUUUUUUUGUUCCUUACAAAUUAAUUGCUGCUAAAAUAAUUGUUUCGACCAAUAUUUAUUGUUAUAAUAGAGAAACCUUUUCUUGCAACUCAAACAGUUCCGAUGGCAUGAUCUGCAUCCCCUGUUUGCCUCUUGGGCUGCACGAUCUUGCUCCUUUUCAUCAAACGGCAACUUCGCUGCAGACAAAAAGAGGGGGUACAGUGCGCAGGGGCACCGUAGAUGUAGCCCAAAAAGAUGAUUUUGUCCCUCCAUGUCUAAGUAUUUUAACCAAAAAAUAAUAAUAAUUCCUUACAUCAUCAAUGAUUGCACUUGUAAAUCUAAGGGAUUAGAAUUCUGUAUUGAAUUUAUAUUUUAUUAAAUAAAAAAUUAAUGUUAAUUUUUUUUUUUUUUUAUCUAGCUAUCAUUGACUUUAUAUUUUGGAUCUUCAUCCAGAAUUAAGGCACAAAAUUUUUGUUCUAAAUAAAUAUUCUCAAUAUAAAUUUAUCACUUAAAUAAUAAUGAUAAGAUUUAAUAUUAAUUCUAUCAUUACUGAAAUGGAUUACAAAUUUUAUAUGACUUGUAAACGUAUCAUUAUGUUCUUGAUAUUUGAAACAUGAAUCAAGCAACAUAUGUAGCAUAUUUUUAUUUCAGUGUCGUGCUUCUCUAAAAAUUGUUGAAAGCAGAAGCCAAGCUGGCAUGCCUCCUGAGCUGGUGUGGUAGGUGAGUUGGAUUUGUUGAGCUGGCAAAUGAAAUUAUUUAUGAUGAUGCUGUGAAUUUAAUUGUCGUAUAAUGUUUGUGUAGAAUUAAGAAUGGAAGACAAUGUCGAUGAUGACAAGAAGAAUAGCAGCGCAUGUGAAUUGAAUAGUUGCAUCUUCUAGAAGCUUAAUGUGAUUGGUUCACAAUUGAAUUGAAUAGUUGCAUCUGCUAAUGAAGAAUAGCAGCGCAUGUGAAUUGAAUAGUUGCAUCUUCUAGAAGUUUGUCUCUGUAUGCAAACUAGCAAAGCUCUGUAUUUCAUUUUCAUUCAAGUCAUCAUAAUCAAUAAAGGCCUGAUUCUCAUACUCUGUUUGCAUUUGAAAGCAAUUCUUAAGAAUUUAAGUAAAAUGACCCUCACCAAAUUAGCUUAAUUCUUUUCAUUGUACCCAUUGCUUCACUUCCUCUUUUCGUCAACGACAAUGGGUAACUUAAUCUCAACCUUCUUACCAGCAGACUUAUUCGAUCGAACUUCAAACUGCGUUGGUGAACAAGCAAAAUAUGUAUGGGGUCUCGAAAAAAAUCUUCGGGUCUUGGAGACUGAAUUGCACAAAUUGACUCGAGCAAGGGACGAUCUGAAGACCAAGGUUGAGGUCGAAGAACAACGACCUCGAACCAGACGAACGAACCAGGUCGCAGGGUGGCUUGAAGAUGUGCAAAAACUGGAAACUGAAUUUACCGAGCUGGAACGAGUUAGAGCUCAAGAAAUGGAUAGAUUGUGCCUUGGAGGCCUCUGUUCCAAAAACUUCGUUUCAAGCUACAAUUACGGGACUCAGGUGGUCGAGUUGACGGAUCGAGUGAUCAAUUUAAAGAAAGACGGAGAAACAAUUGAAGUCGUUGUUGAGAAGGCGCCGGAUGGUGCAGCAAUUGAAUUACCUGUUGAUCACACGGUUGUUGGUCAAGAACGAUUACUUGAUCAAGUUUGGAGAUGUAUCACUGAUGAGGAAAAGAACAGGGGAAUUAUCGGCUUGUAUGGUAUAGGGGGAGUCGGCAAAACUACCCUUUUAAAACAAGUCAACAACAACUUCUGCCAUCAACGGCAUAUUUUUGAUGUUGUUAUCUGGGCGGCUGUGUCAACACUUCAAGAUGACAUUGGAAAAAGGAUUGGCUUUUCAGAAGCCAAGUACUGGAAGGAAAAAAGUCUUCAAGCUAAGGCUGUGGACAUCGCUGGCAUUUUAUGCCGAAAGAAGUUUGUGUUGUUAUUGGAUGAUAUAGGGGAACGGAUUGAUUUAACACAAUUGGGUGUCCCUCUUCAAAAACUAAAAGAUGGGUCCAAAGUAGUCUUGACAACUCGUUCAGCUGGUGUUUGCGAUCAAAUGGACGCUGAAAAGGUGGAAGUGUAUAGUUUGGCGCAUGAUAAAGCCUGGGAAUUAUUUCAGGAGAUGGUCGAAAGAUCCACUCUUGACAGUCAUACCAGUAUUCCAGAGCUAGCCGAAGCCUUGGCAAGAGAGUGUGGUGGGUUGCCGCUAGCGCUUAAAACAGUGGGUCGAGCCAUGAAAAGCCAAAGGAGAGUUGGAGAUUGGAAACGUGCAAUUAACAAAAUGAGAACAUCAGCUUCUAAAUUCUCAGGUAUGAAAGAAGAGGUGUUUUCGCGUUUAAAGUUCAGCUAUGAUAGUUUGUCUACGGAUGAACUUCGUUCCUGUCUCCUGUAUUGUUGUUUAUACCCUGAAGACUACAAAAUUCCUAAAAGGGAAUUGAUUGAUUAUUGGAUUAGUGAAGAAUUUGUGUGUGAUUUUGAUGGUGGAUGCGAUUUUAUUGAUGACCUUCUUCAUGCAUGCUUAUUGGAGGAAGAAGGCGAUGAUCAUGUAAAGAUGCACGAUAUGAUUCGUGAGAUGUCAUUAUGGAUAGCGUGCACGGUAGACAAGGAGGAGCAGAACUUUCUGGUUCGCGCUGGAGUUGAAUUGACCGAAGCACCAAAGUUUGAAGAAUGGCAAGGUGCCAAACGGGUAUCUCUGAUGGGAAAUGGAAUUAGGAGCUCAUCGGAAAUUCCCACGUGUCCGCGCCUCGUAACUUUACUUCUUUCAAUCGAUGUCUUCUCUUAGAGUAUUAAGUCUAAGAGGAAAUUUUCCCCUAAGAACACUACCUUCAGGGAUUUCAGGUUUGGUUUCAUUACAUCAUCUUGAUCUAUCAUCGACUAACAUAACUGGGUUGCCGCAAGAGCUGAAGGCGUUGGAGAAGUUGAGAUAUUUGAACUUGGACUAUACACGGUUUUUGUCUAUAAUUCCACAUCAAUUGAUAUCUGGUUUUUCAAAGUUGGAGGUACUCAGGUUGCUUUCACGCGGUCGCUGGAGCGUAAUAGAAGGUAACGUUCUAUGUGAUGAUGCUGAACCUUUGAUGAAGGAAUUGCUGGGUUUGAAGCAUUUAAAUGUUUUAAGCUGGACCUUCCGAAGUUCACUUGCUGUCCAAAAGUUUUUGAAAUAUCCAAAGCUGGUGAGCAUCACUCAAUCUGUAAUGGUUUGCCAAUGUGAAAGUCCACCGUUCAAUGUCUUACAUCUAGCAUACAUGGAGAAUCUUCAGGAGUUACGCAUUUCAGACAGUAAUUUGGAAGAGAUGAAGACUGACAGCACAGAAGAGGUAAAGAAACUUUUUCAAAGUGGUUUCCGCAGUCUCGACAGAGUUGUCAUAUGGAGUUGCCAAAAAAUGAAAGACUUAACGUGGCUAGUUUUUGUUCAAAUUCUCAAGCAGCUGCGUAUAGUCUUUUGUACAGAAAUGGAAGAAAUAAUUAGUGUUGAUAAAUUGAGAGAUAUUUCGAAGAUAAUCGGGUCAGAGCAUAACUUUUUUGCACAACUCGAAUCUCUAACCAUAAAGUGGGGAAGAAAUUUAAAGAGCGUUUACCCGAAUCCCCUGCCCUUUCCAAAGCUGAAGAAAAUUGAAGUACGUGAAUGCCCACAGCUGAAGAAGCUCCCACUCAAUUCCAGCAGCGCGAAGGAACGUCGAGUUGUCAUCGAGGGGUCGAAAAAAUGGUGGGAAGAGCUACAAUGGGAGGACCAAGCCACCCAAAAUGCUUUCUCUUCCGGUGUCGUACUUGGGGAUGAUUUUCAUUAAUAUGUUUGAAUAUGUAUUUCUUUUCUUUUUCUUUUUUUUUUUAAUUUUCAUUAGAUUUAAUUGCAUCUUGUUGUUGUUGUCUGGUGUGUCAAUCGUUAUCUAUUUUCAGUUAAUAAAAUUUCAGCAGUGGAUUCUUGGUUUUAGAAUCCUCCCACUGGAAAGAAUUUCUCCUUUGGCUUGAAUGCGACCUUUUUACUCGUCGACAAAAUUGUAUUUGUCGCUUAAGUCUUGUUUGUUUUAAAAUGCUGGCAUAUUUAUAGAGUGGGAACUCAGAUGCUGAACUCAUAGUAAAUAUUUAUUUAAUUUGUUAUAAUUAUAUUUGGUGAGAUAUUUAUUCAAUAAUUGCCCUAUCACUUUGUGCAUGAUCACAGAAUUUUGUACUUCCGUCUGUGAAAUAACUUUUGGAAAAGGAAAUUAAUUUUUUUAAGUAACGGUAAAUAUUUUAAAUUUUUAUUUUAAAUUUUAUUUUAAAUAAUAUAGUAUGUAAUGUGUCAUUUAUUUAGUGAUUGAUAAUUUAAUAUAGGAUUUAAAUAAAUUAAUUAUGCUAUUUUAUUAUUUAAUUAAUAAAUAUUAUAUAAUUUAAAAUAGAUUUUUGAGAUAAAAAUUAUAAAAGUAAAAUUCUACUCAACAGACUAAAUUUAAAAUGAUGUGAUUGGCAGGUAAGACUUAAGAAUUAGACAAAAUUUCUCAUUCAACAGCUUGUAGAAAAUUUAUACACUAGGCCUUAGCUAAACUUGGACUUGUCGUAUGUUUGAAGUAUUCGACGAUAAUCAUAUCUGCAUUUUUAUUUUAUUUUUUAUUUUUGGUUUGUUUAGGGCUUUUCAUCGGUUUUCGUCUUGGUCUUUGUCCUGGUCUUGGCGUCUUGCUAUCAAAUCAAGUGUUCUCUUCUCCUAUCCUCUAAUGAAAGUGCAGGGCCUCAACUAUUUGUUACUGCUAUCACUUUAGAGGUUGAUGCUAAUGUCCGAAGGUCACGUUUAAUUUGCUUGAAUGUGACCUUUACUUUGGUUGACAAAAUUGUGAUUGUCACAAAGAACAAACUAUAAAAGUGCAGUUUAAAUCGAACACUGAAUUCCCUAUGGAAAUUUUCGCACCCGUAUAUAUAUUCUACAUUAUUUGGUUGCAAAGACUAUAAUUAACAAGAAGCUAAUAUAUAUAGUAGAGAGAGAAAUAACAAGUUCAAUGUUGGUAAAAUUUUAUCUUCCCUUCACUGCUCUCCUUUGCUGCAAUCAAGUGGCCUCACUUACAAAUUUUGACUUUUAAUUAUUUCAAUUAACACAAGAAAAAAAGGGCAAUAUAGUUUACAUUACUCUAUCAGCCUUAUAUAAAGGGUAUAAAUAUGAGAGUGCGUUUGGAAUUGAAGUCGGACACUUGUCGCUUAAAAGCUACAGUAGCAAAGUGUUUGGUAAAUACUAAUUGUUGUGUCUUGAAAGAUAUGUUGAUAUGAUUUUUCACUUGUAUAAUAGAGAAUUUAUUAUUUUAUUAUUAAUAAUUUCGUUAAAAUUAUUAUUUAAAAUUUAUAUUUAUUAAAUAUUAUUAACUUUUGUUUUAUAGUUACAAUUUUUUUUUUUUACAGCAACUGUACCUUAAAAGUUAUAACACUUCAAUUCCAAACGUACCUUAAGUCUGUAAGGCAUAAGUUUUCACUCUUCGGGAAUCUAAGGAGAUUAGGGCAAGAGCUGCACAUUUGUAGUCUCAAAUUCAUUUGACAUCAGCCAAUUUAAUGUCUAUGGACGGGUAUAAAGGACGUCACAGACGGUUAAAGAACAAGGUGUUUGAUGGAAAUGUCAAGAAGUUCGAUGAAAUGUCUCACCUACACAACCAAGCCACUUAACAUUGCAGUCUUAUAAUACAAUUCCUACCUUCUCUUCCAUUUUCACCAACAUAAUUCUUUCUUUCUCACUUUAUUUUCUUCCUUGAAAUUUUUGUUAACAAAAAUGGGUAACAUCAUUCUCAUGCGUGCUUCUUAUCACCAGACUCAAUUCUUGCAGUUUUAUUUUAUUUUAUUUUUCCUUCGUGGAGAUGCUAAAAUAUAUAUGAGAUCUAAAAAGCUAAUCUUGAUGAGUUGCAGAAUCCAAUGCAGAAUUUGAAAGUUACAAAAGAUUAUAAAUACUAUUUUAACUUGUAAGCUUCCAUUGCUAUACAGUGAGGUAUGUCUAGAUAUCAUUUUGGUCUUUUAUAUAUUGGGUUCCAGUGAAAGACUUUUGUUCUAGUUGAAUUUAAUUUUGUCUUUGUAUUUACAGACAAAAUAUUAGGGACAUUUAUCAUACAUAUUUGGCUAGUUCGCCGUGGAAAAAUAAUAAUAGUUGAAAAGACAUAGGGUACUUUUUAUUUUCCUUUAUAUUACUAAUAGAUUUCCCACGCGCAACAGACGAAGUCAUUGCUGCUUCAAUAAUUGCCCUAUCACUGUGUUCAUCAUCACAAAUUUCUUUAUUACGUUUGUGAAAUAACCAUUGCAUAAAAAAAUUACUCCAACUUUUUAACUAAUAAUAGAUAUCUCAAAUUUUAUUUUCAGAAUAUGGUAUGUAAUGUAAGCGAUCGAUAGUUCUUUAUAAAAUAUAUAAAUAAAUUAAUAGUGUUAUCUUAGUGUCUAAUAUAUAUAAAUGACUUUCUCCAUAUAUUGCACUAUUGAUAUGGGCUAAAGUUUUAUACUAUGAGACCCAAUUUCUAUAAUUUACACUAUAAGUUAAAAGUAUUUAGAAAAAUACUAUUGCAAAUCAAAAGGUAUUAUCUAUUUUAUACCUAAAGCAUUUUCACUAUUUAAGACUAGUAAAAUUUCUAUAUUAUUAUAAUAUUAGAAUCAAACACCAAUAAGCGAGUAAAUCAGGUGGAAUAAGAAUGUUCUAACUUAACCAAGGUCCUCGGUUUGAAACUUAGAAAUGCAACUACAUUAAAUACUUAUUGGGAGAGAUUUGCCGCUUUAGUGGUUCUAUCCGGCUCGAAUCUAGAUUAGUCGGGGAUCUAAUGUGGUCUUUGGAUACUAGAUGAUUUAAUAUACCGAUAAUAUUGGAACCAAACUCAUUUACAAUUAUGAAGAGGUUAUAAUUUAAUAGAGGCAUAGUAACAAACUAUUAAUAGAGAGUAUAAAAUUUAAUGUAUAAACAAAAUUCUAUAAUUUACACUAUAAGUUGCAAGUAUUUAGGUCAAUACUAUUGCAAAUCAGAAGAUAUUAUAUAUUUUAUGCCGAAAAUAUUUCCACUAUUUAAGGCUAGUAAAACUUCUAUAUAAUUAUAAUAUUGGAACCAAACACCAACAAGCGAGUAAAUCAACUAGAAUGGAAAUGUUCUAACGUCAAGGUCCUCGGUUCAAAACUUAGAAAUGCAACUACAUUAAAUAUUUAUUGGGAGAGAUUUGCCGCUCUAGUAGUUCUAUCCGGGUCGAAUCUGGAUUAGUCGGGAAUCUAAUGUGGUCUUUGGAUACUAGAUGAUUUAAUGUACCAAUAAUAUUGGAACCAAACUAAUUUACAAUUAUGAGGAGGUUAUAAUUUAAUAGAGGCGUAGUAACAAACUAUUAAUAGAGCGUAUCAAAUUUAAUAUUGGAAUCCGAUGAUUGGUUGCAACAUAAGAUAUUUGUAAGCUUAGUUAAAGGUUCAUUAAAAAUUAUAGAGAUAUAUAAUUUCGCAGUCGACGAAGCCAUGCAUGAGGUUAAGGCAAGUGAUGGAAUGACUUGCGUUACAAAAGAGGUAUGUGAAGUUGCACUAUAAAAAUAAAAUAAAUUUGUAUUUUCAAGUAGUGAAGGUGUAGUUAGUUUAUUUGCGGUAGCAGUUUCACAGCUGACAGAUGAACAAAGAGUGGCUGCUUGUCAAAUGGGCUUUGGUAGUUUGCUACAAUUGAACCGUGGCAAGCUAAAAAGGAAACUUUGUGGCUAGUUAAUUGAGAUGAUUGAUACUUUGAGGUACAUUUUAGAGUUGAAUGGUAUUAGCUUUCAAACAAGAUCAUCAAAGAAACUCUACCAACUAGGAAAUUUAAACUUAAUCUAUGCUCCGCAAAUUCGAAUAUUCUCUAAUAUGAAACUACUUUUAUGUGUUUUAUUAUUCCUAGCUUUUACCGACUUGGUAACGUUGUUAUGGAAGCACGACAACUAUUAUGUCCGUGUAAUUUUUAUUGUAUCUUUUGUUAUGUCAUGAUAUCGAAGCUUAGUUUUAUGACUCUAACUACUAAGAACUGCAAUUGCAGCAUCUUUUGAAUAUUACAUAUGUGCUUGUAGUAUCUCGACGGAUUAAAACCUGCUAUUUAAGUUCUUCUACCCCUCCCCCCCUUCAUUCUUUCAUUUAUACUUGCUGCACUAUUUACUUCGCACUCUGUAAAGCCAGAUGAAAGCUUGUUCAUUUAUGUUCACUUGCAAUUCAAAAGCACAGUUUAUUUCAACUGUCAAAUUGACAACUUGCACGUAUAGAUUUCAGUCGAAACAAGGUUAUUGGUCGAUCAAGAAAUUGAAUCCAUAUGGCCGUUCCAGCGUUAUUCAACUACCUAAUAUCAAAUAUAUAAAUUAAUUCAACCCACUUCUGUGUCAAAGGCAUGGAACAAAUUAUGAAAGAUUUUUCAGCUAUCAUAAAUUCGAACGAGUGUAGUUUGUAUCCUUUCGAACUUAGACAGAUUUUCCUUCCAUUAACCUUACAGUGUUAGUAAUCCUAUUACUUGUUUUUAAAGCUUGAAUAGUAUACCGAAAUUUUUGGUUUUUGCAACAUAAACUUGUAUGUAAUGUACAUUUUAUAGUUCUUUACAAAUUAAUUGCUGCUAAAAUAAUUGUUUCGACUACUAUAUUUAUUGUUAUAAUAGAUAAACAUUUUCUUGCAACUCAAACAGUUCCAAUGGCAUGAUCUGCAUCCCCCGUUUGCCUCUUGGGCUACGAACCUGCUUAACAGCUGCACCAUCUUGCUCCUUUUCAUCAAACGGCAACUUCGCUGCAGACAAAAAGAGGGGGUACACUGCCCAGGGGCACCAUAAACGCAGCCCAAAAAGAUGAUUUUGUCUUUCCAUGUCUUAGUAUUUUAACCAAAAAUAAUAAUAAUAAUUCUUUACAUCAUCAAUGAUUGCACUUGUAAGCCAGGCAAUAGUUUUUUUAUUAAAUAAAAAAUUAAUGUUAAAUUUUUUUUUUUUUUUUUUUUUUUUUAUCUAGCUAUCAUUGACUUAAUAUUUUGAAUCUUCAUCCAAAGUUAAGGCACAAAACUUUUAUUCUAAAUAAAUAUUCUCAAUAUAAAUUUAUCACUUAAAUAAUAAAUAAUAAGAUUUAACAUUAAUUCUGUCGUUACUGAAAUGAAUUGUAAAUUUUAUAUGACGUGUAAACGUAUCAUUAUGUUCUUGAUAUUUGACAUAUGAAUUAUAAAGCAACAAAUGUAUCAUAUUUUAUUUCGGUAUUGUGCUUCUCCAUAUUUGCUUAAUUCUUUUCGUUGUACUCAUUGCUUCUCUUCCUCUUUUCGUCAACGACAAUGGGUAACCUAAUCUCAACCUUCUUACCAGCAGACUUAUUUGAUCGAAUUUCAAACUGCGUUGGUGAACAAGCAAAAUAUGUAUGGGGUCUCGAAAAAAAUCUUCGGAUCUUGGAGACUGAAUUGCACAAAUUGACUCGAGCAAGGGCCGAUCUGAAGACCAGGGUUGAGGUCGAACAACAACGACCUCGAACCAGACGAACGAACCAGGUCGCAGGGUGGCUUGAAGAUGUGCAAAAUCUGGAAACUGAAUUUGCCGAGCUGGAACGAGUCAGAGCUCAAGAAAUGGAUAGAUUGUGCCUUGGAGGCCUCUGUUCCAAAAACUUCGUUUUAAGCUACAAUUACGGGACUAAGGUGGUCGAGUUGACGGAUCGAGUGAUCAAUUUAAAGAAAGACGGAGAAAAAAUUGAAGUCGUUGUUGAGAAGGCGCCGGAUGGUGCAGCAAUUGAAUUACCUCUUGAUCACACAGUUGUUGGUCAAGAACUAUUACUUGGUCAAGUUUGGAGAUGUAUCACUGAUCAGGAAAAGAACAGGGGAAUUAUCGGCUUGUAUGGUAUAGGGGGAGUCGGCAAAACUACCCUUUUAAAACAAGUCAACAACAACUUCUGCCAUCAACAGCAUAAUUUUGAUGUUGUUAUCUGGGCGGCUGUGUCAACACUUCAAGAUGACAUUGGAAAAAGGAUUGGCUUUUCAGAAGACAGAAACUGGAAGGAAAAAAGUCUUCAAGACAAGGCUGUGGACAUCGCUAGCAUUCUAAGCGGAAAGAAGUUUGUGUUGUUAUUAGAUGAUAUAUGGGAGCCCAUUGAUUUAACACAGCUGGGUGUCCCUCUUCAAAAUCUAAAUGAUGGGUCCAAAAUAGUCUUGACAACUCGUUCAGCUGGGGUUUGCGAUCAAAUGGACGCUGAAAAGGUGGAAGUGUCUAGUUUGGCACAUGAUGAAGCCUGGAAAUUAUUUCAGGAGAUGAUCGAAAGAUCCACUCUUGACAGUCAUACCAGUAUUCCAGGGCUAGCCGAAACCCUGGCAAGAGAGUGUGGUGGGUUGCCGCUAGCGCUUAAAACAGUGGGUCGAGCCAUGAAAAGCCAAAGGAAAGUUGGAGAUUGGAAACGUGCAAUUCACAAAAUGACAACAUCAGCUUCUAAAUUCUCAGGUAUGAAAGAAGAGGUGUUUUCGCGUUUAAAGUUCAGCUAUGAUAGUUUGUCUACGGAUGAACUUCGUUCCUGUCUCCUGUAUUGCUGUUUGUAUCCUGAAGACUACGAAAUUCCUAAAAGGCAAUUGAUUGAUUAUUGGAUUAGUGAAGGAUUUGCGUGUGAUUUUGAUGAUGGAUGCGAUUUUAUUGAUGACCUUCUUCAUGCAUGCUUAUUGGAGGAAGAAGGCGAUGAUCAUGUAAAGACGCACGAUAUGAUUCGUGAGAUGUCAUUAUGGAUAGCGUGCACGGUAGACAAGGAGGAGCAGAACUUUCUGGUUCGCGCUGGAGUUGAAUUGACCGAAGCACCAAAGGUUGAAGAAUGGGAAGGUGCCAAACGGGUAUCUCUGAUGGAAAAUAAAAUUGAAAGCCUAUCGGAAAUUCCCACGUGUCCGCGUCUCGUAACUUUACUGCUGGAUGAAAAUCGGAUUGAGGAGAUCACUGAUGGCUUCUUUCAAUCUAUGUCGUCUCUUAGAGUAUUAAGUCUAAGAGGAAAUUUUCCCCUAAGUACACUACCUUCGGGGAUUUCAGGUUUGGUUUCAUUGCAUCAUCUUGAUCUAUCAUCGACUCACAUAACUGGGUUGCCGCAAGAGCUGAAGGCGUUGGAGAAGUUGAGAUAUUUGAACUUGGACUAUACAGAGUACUUGUCCAUAAUUCCACAUCAAUUGAUAUCUGGCUUUUCAAAGUUGGAGGAACUCAGGUUGUUUGCGUCCGGUCGCUGGGGCGUAAUAGAGGAAGAAGAAGGUAACGUUCUAUGUGAUGAUGCUGAACCUUUGAUGAAGGAAUUGCUGGGUUUGAAGCAUUUAAAUGUUUUAAGCUGGUCCUUCCGAAGUUCACUUGCUGUCCAAAAGUUUUUGAAAUAUCCAAAGCUGGUUAGCAUCACUCAAUCUGUAUGGGUUGAAUGUGGCAUGUAUACAAGGCCACCGUUCAAUGUCUUACAUCUAGCAUAUAUGGAGAAUCUUCAGGAGUUGCGUCUUUCUCAGAGUGAUUUGGAGGAGAUGAAGAUUGACAGCACAGAAGAGGUGAAGAAGCUUUUUCAAAGUGGUUUCCGCAGUCUCGACACAGUUGAUCUAUUUUAUUGCCAAAAAGCGAAGGACUUAACGUGGCUUGUUUUUGUUCAAAACCUCAAGGAGCUGCGUAUAGUGUAUUGUGAAUACGUGGAAGAAAUUAUCGGGGCUGAUAAAUUGAGAGAUAUUUCAGAGAUAGUGGGGUCAGAGCAUAACGUUUUCGCAGAACUCGAAUUUCUAUCCUUAUGGGGGGGAAUAAAUUUAAAGAGCGUUUACCCGAAUCCCCUGCCCUUUCCAAAGUUGAAGAAAAUUCAAGUACUUCAUUGCCGACAGCUGAAGAAGCUCCCACUCAAUUCCAGCAGCGCGAAGUUACGUCGAGCUGUCAUCGAGGGAACGAAAAAGUGGUGGGAAGAGCUACAAUGGGAGGAUCAAGCCACCCAAAAUGCUUUCUCUUCCGGUGCCGUACUUACUGAGUUUCCUUUUUAUUAAUAUGUUUUAAUAUGUAUUUCUUUUUCUUUUCUUUUUUUAAUUUUCAUUAGAUUUAAUUGCAUCUUGUUCUUGUUGUCUGGUGUGUCAAUCGUUCCCUACUUUCAGUUAAUAAAAUUUCAGCAGUGGAUUCUUGGUUUAUUAAUGUUUAUAUAACUGAAUUGUUCAGCAGAUGUACUCUGCACGACUAACACAGAAAUAAACACAGAAAUAAAUAUAUGUAAGGGGUUACAGGACUGACUCUGCUUCUGGCUUCUAAGGAGAAAGAGGGGAAAAUAAACAUUUUAUCUUCCCUUAACUGCUCUCCUUUGGUUUGAAUGUGAACUUAACACUCUUUUAUUAUUAAAAUUUAAUUAUUUGGUUGUAUAAUAUAUUUCUCCAAUAAACGAAGAAUGAUAAAGGAGCAACUAAAAAAACCCAUCAAAAUAUUUCACCAAUGAAAAGAUUCAUGAGAAAUAAACAUUAUAAUCCGAACAAAUAAAUCAAUUAGUCAAUAUAUCAUUUAGCCGAAUUAAAGACGCUGCUUGCGCUUCGUAGUUCUGAGCUUAGAAUCAAGUAGAGAACUGAAUAUGAAAUUUUUAAUUGCUGAGAAUAUGAAUUUGAGGUUGAUGGACGACUUGAAAGAGAGGGACAAGAAAGAAUGAUACAGAGCAGGUGGCUGGCAAAAGGGACCUUAUGACGAUCUUCUUCAGUACAGCUAUGAUGCCGCUUCCACCUUCAAUUGAAUGUCAGAAAAUUCAAAGUUUGUCAAAAGAGGAUGGUAAAUUAAGCUGUUUUUUUUUUUUCUUUUUUGCAAAAUUUACCAAGUGAAUUAAUCCAUUAUUUUAUCUAUCAAUCAGUACACAAUCUACAUUACCCCACGCUAACAAAACACUGACUAUAAAUCUAUGACUAUACAAUGCGCACUUUGGUUACUGCCCCAGCCCUCUUACCCAAAAGAACCACAAAAGCAACGAAAAACUAAAUUGAUUACAUAAUCAAAUCAAGUUCUUCUUAGCUACUGUGAUCGAUUUGUCCAGCACCAUCAGUUAAUUUCUCUAGUUUUCAGCAAAAAUGGUCGAGUUCUUGAGUCUUCUUUGCACGUUUCAUCUCAUUUAUUCUGUCGAUAAAGCUUAUACACAUCAUCCGCAACGACAACAAAUUAAAUUAAUAUGUGUCGAGUUUUGGAGCCAGAGCCAGCGGUGCAAGCGCAAGAGAAAGGGACUUCACACAAGAAUUUGCCAGACCAUGGGCUACAGAAAGGUGCCUCACUUCACGGACGCGGAAUUUGGUUGGCUCCUGGGCCAUUAAGGGUGAAUGCAUCUUUCUUUUUAUGUGAAUUUAAUUAUUGAACCCGGUAUCUUGAAUAAAUAUAAAUUUGACUGUAGCACCAAGUAUCAAUGAUUGCAAAAUGUAAAUUUGACAUAUUGUGUGGUUAAAUCAUCUUGUACUAAUCGUUUAUGUUAAUUUAUGGAGGCCUUAAUGUCCAAGGCAUACGUAAAGGGGUACAGGACUGACUCUGCUUCUGGCUUCUAAGGAGAAUGAGGGGAAAAUUUUAUAAACAUUUGUGGAGUGGCCGUAUAAAGGACGUGUGGUUCUCAAUCCAUUUCACAUUUGGCAUUGUAAUGUUUAUGGACUCAUAUAAAUGAUGUCACACAAAUAGUUAAACGAAGAAGGUGUUUGAUGAAAACGAAAGGGCCUUUUUCUUUUUUUAAAUCCCGCUAAAGGUUAUAAUUAACAACAAAUUAAUAAUAGAAGAGAGAGAAAUACCAAGUUCAAUACGGUAAUAUUUUAUCUUCCUUUUAACUGCUCUCCUUUGGCUUAUAAUGCGACCUUUACACUCGUGGACAAAAUUGUAUUUGUCGCUUAAGUCUUGCUUGUUUUAAAAUGCUGGCAUAUUUAUGGAGUGGGAACCCAGAUGCUGAACUCAUAGUAAAUAUUUAUUUAAUUUGUUAGAAUUAUUUUUGGUGGGAUAAUUUUAAAUAUUAAUUUAACAAGAUAGUGAUGUUUGCCUUGCCCUACAUGGAAAAAAUAAUAAUAAUUAAAGUUUUUUCUGUUCCUUUAUAUUAGUAAUAGAUUUCAGAUGGGAAACAGAAAAUUUAUUUCUGUUUCAAUAAUUACCAUAUCACUGUGUGCGUGCGUGAUCACAUAAUUUUGUACUACCGUCUGUGGAAUAACUUUAGGAAAAGAAAAUUAAUUUUUUUUAAGUAACAAUAAAUAUUUUAAAUUGUUUUCUUCUCUUAUCAAUUGUUUUUUUCUCCUAUCUUCCAAUGAAAGUGCAGGACCUCAAUUAUUUUAAUAGAGAUGUAGUAAUAAAUUAUUAGGGGAUCCAUAAAAUAAAUAUACAUGGUUUCAAAAAAGUUAGCACAUGCUUGUUACAAAUAUAAAAAAUUAUCUUAAAAGUCUCGGAACUUUUGUGUUCUCUUUAAUAUUUUUUUCUUAUGUUGUUAUUGUACUAUAUGGAUACAAGGGUGCGUUUGGUACGUUGUAUUAUAUUAUGUUGUAUUGCAUUAUUUUAAUAUAGGUAUAUUACAUUAUGUUGUGUUGUAUUAGUAAUGUAUUAUAAUAAUGUUGUACAAUGUUUGGUACUAUACUGUAUUGUAUUAAUUUUUAAUUAAUAUUAUUCAAAUGUAUUCAUAUUUAAAUAUUUAUUAUUAGUUAUAUUAAAUUAUUUAAAAAUAACUAGUUUAAUUAUUUUAAUAUAAUUAAAUAAUAUUAUAAUAUAUUAUAUUAUUUAAGUAUUUAUUAUUAGUUAUAUUAACUUAUUAAAAAUUAAUCAAUUAUAUAUAUUAAUUAAUAUAAUUUUACAUAUUAAUUAAUAUAAUAUAAUUAAAUAAUACAUUUUUUAGUUGUACAUUUACUAUAAUAAAAAUUAAAAUAUAAUAUAAUAUUAAAUUAAAAAUUAUAUUCAUUUAUUAUUAUUACAAAGUAUAAAAAAAAAAAAAAAAGGAAGCUAAAGCUAAUGCGGUAACUGGACACAUUAGCUAAACCCGACUAUAACAUAUGUCGGGUUUAGCUAAUACAACCAUUUGGUACCUCAGACAUGGUGCUGCAUUGCUAAUGCAAUGUAAUCCCAGGUAAAGAGGGGUACCAGACAACCCCCAAGUUCACUUAAUGUAACAUAACAUACUUUUUUUUUCUAUAUAUAUAUAUACACUACGUGGAAGUGAGCUCCUUAAGGUGAGAUUUAGCAAAAUUAUAAAUUAUUACAGCAUGAAAUUUAUUUUUAUUUAUAAUUGGCCUAAUAUAAAUUAGGACCAGUACUUUUAUAGCUAUAUGAAAUUAUUUUUAUAUAAAAUAUCACUACAUAAAUGUUUUAUUACAAUAUUAAUCUCUUUUUUUUAUUGUAUUUAUCUCUUCAUAAUCUUUUCCUUUUUAUAAAAAAAAAAAAUCAACUAAAAGAUUCAUCAACAUCUCAUUCCAACAAUCUACUAGCGAAAAUGAGUGUCCAUGCUUUUGAACCAAGGCCCGAUAUGUGAGGGAGAGAUUGUUGGGUUGUCUUACAUCGGUUGUGAACUAGGAUGGUGGUGAUUUUACAAGUGUGAGGGAAAGUCUCACCCCUUAUCCAUCUUUUGGGUUGGGAUUGAAUGAGACCCAAAACCGCUUAACAUGAAUUCUAUCACUGGGAUUUUUACCCAGUAUAACAAACAUAACAACACAAUGAAUUAUCAAUUUAUCACGUAAUGGCUCUAACUUUAGCGAUGAUCACCUUACAUGAACAUGAAAAUUAAUCCCAUUGUUUAACUCAACAAUGACGAUAAUCACUUAAACUCUUAUGCACCAAAGGAUAUACUCGCUACAGGGAAUCUUAACUCAUAAAGAUUAAUUUUAGUGGGGGGCAAAAGAGCACGAGUGAUCCAAACCACUAAACAACAUCAUAACCAACACAAAAUUUAUACUAAACAAACCAUUACCAAAACAGCAAAGCUAGACAUAAAUUUGAACAGAUACACAAGCUACAUUCAUUACCAUAAUGUAUCGACUAAAUUUCCAAGCUCUACAUUUUGAACAAAGAAUUUAUAAAAUUACAUAAUCUAAUAAAUUAAUAUAGAAAUAAAAUUGGCAUCAGAUCAAAUUACUAUUAAUGUACCUUGCAUAAACCAUUCUCUUCUAUCGGCAUUCACCUCCGCGCUCGAUUGGCUCUCCUGUGCUGCUUGUCUAAUUGAUUCAAAUCCACAUAGACAAAUUUAAGCAUAUUAAGUUUUCAAACUCAAAUCAACAGCUUUAAAAGUUACUUCACAAACAAUGAAUUUCAUUUUCGAAAUACAAAGAAUCCGUUCAGUUUAAAACAAUAAAAAAUCGUCUACGACUACUCAACUCAUGUAUGAUAACUAAAAAACGAAGGAUACCCACAAAAAUUAAAGAUAAAUUACCAAAAACCCAAAAAACUCAAGCCAAAAUUGCCAAAAAAAAAGCGAGAGAAUGGAAAUUGGCGUACCAGGGGCAGGAGAGAGGAAACGAGAAGAGGAAGAAAGAAGGGUUUUGGAGAGAGUGGGAAUUAGUGGAGGCAAAAAUGGAGAGUUUUGAGAGUGAGAUGAUUGGUGGGGUGGUGAUGGCGGUGGUGGGGUUAAUGUUCUGGAGGGUAUGCUGAAGAGAGGUCGCAAGAGAACCUCCAUAGCCUUUAAAGAGAGUUGAGUUGCUGCUUUCUUUUGCCGUGGAUGGAGAGAGAUUAAGGGAUUAGAAUUCUGUAUUGAAUUAAUUUUUUAUUAAAUAAAAAAUUAUUGUUAAAAUUUAUUUUAUUUUAAUUUUUUAUCUAGCUAUCAUUGACUUAAUAUUUUGAAUCUUUAUCCAAAGUUAAGGCACAAAAUUUUUAUUCUAAAUAAAUAUUCUCAAUAUAAAUAUAUCACUUAAAUAAUAAUGAUAAGAUUUAAUAUUAAUUCUGUCAUUACUGAAAGAAUUACAAAUUUUAUAUGACGUGCAAACGUAUCAUUAUAUUCUUGAUAUUUGAAACAUGAAUAAAGCAACAAAUGUAUCAUAUUUUUAUUUUGGUGUUGUGGUUCUCUAAAAAUUGUUGAAAGCAGCAGCUGUGAAGAGUCAACGGUUGACCUUGAUUCUGUGAGUUGGAUUUGUUGAGCUGGCAAAACUGUUAUGUUGAAGAAUAGCAGCGCAUGUGCAUUGAAUAGUUGCAUCUUCUAGAAGCUUAAUGUGAUUGGUUCACAAUUGCUAUAUUCACGGAUCAAUUUUGAUUACUUCCGUGUAAUACCCCUUAGGCUAGCUGUCAUUAUUUUUUGUCUCUGUAUGUAAACUAGCAAAGCUCUGUAUUUCAUUUUCAUUCAAGUCAUCAUUAUCAAUAAAGACCUGAUUCUCAUACUCUGUUUGCAUUUGACAGCAAUUCUUAAGAAUUUAAGUAAAAAUUAGCUUAAUUCUUUUCAUUGUACUCGUUGCUUCUCUUCCUCUUUUCGCCAACGACAAUGGGUAACCUAAUCUCAACCUUCUUACCAGCAGACUUAUUUGAUCGAACUUCAAACUGCGUUGGUGAACAAGCAAAUUAUGUAUGGGGUCUCGAAAAAAACCUUCGGGUCUUGGAGACUGAAUUGCACAAAUUGACUCGAGCAAGGGACGAUCUGAAGACCAAGGUUGAGGUCGAAGAACAGCGACGUCGAACCAGACGAACGAACCAGGUCGCAGGGUGGCUUGAAGAUGUGCAAAAACUGGAAACUGAAUUUACCGAGCUGGAACGAGUUAGAGCUCAUGAAAUCGAUAGAUUGUGCCUUGGAGGCCUCUGUUCCAAAAACUUCGUUUCAAGCUACAAUUACGGGACUCAGGUGGUCGAGUUGACGGAUCGAGUGAUCAAUUUAAAGAAAGACGGAGAAAAAAUUGAAGUCGUUGUUGAGAAGGCGCCAGAUGGUGCAGCAAUUGAAUUACCUCUUGAUCACACAGUUGUUGGUCAAGAACUAUUACUUGAUCAAGUUUGGAGAUGUAUCACUGAUCAGGAAAAUAAUAGGGAAAUUAUCGGCCUGUAUGGUAUCGGGGGAGCCGGCAAAACUACCCUUUUAAAACAAGUCAACAACAACUUCUGCCAUCAACAGCAUAAUUUUGAUGUUGUUAUCUGGGCGGCUGCGUCAACACUUCAAGAUGACAUUGGAAAAAGGAUUGGCUUUUCAGAAGACCAAAGCUGGGAGAAAAAAAGUCCUCAAGACAAGGCUGUGGACAUCGCUAGCAUUUUAAGCAGAAGGAAGUUUGUGUUGUUAUUGGAUGAUAUAUGGAAACCCAUUCAUUUAACAGAAUUGGGUGUCCCUCUUCAAAAACUAAAUGAUGGGUCCAAAGUAGUCUUGACAACUCGUUCAGCUGGUGUUUGCGAUCAAAUGGACGCUGAAAAGGUGGAAGUGUAUAGUUUGGCGCAUGAUAAAGCCUGGGAAUUAUUUCAGGAGAUGGUCGACAGAUCCACUCUUGACAGUCAUACCGGUAUUCCAGAGCUAGCCGAAACCUUGGCAAGAGAGUGUGGUGGGUUGCCGCUAGCGCUUAAAACAGUGGGUCGAGCCAUGAAAAGCCAAAGGAAAGUUGGAGAUUGGAAACGUGCAAUUCACAAAAUGAGAACAUCAGCUUCUAAAUUCUCAGGUAUGAAAGAAGAGGUGUUUUCGCGUUUAAAGUUCAGCUAUGAUAGUUUGUCUACGGAUGAACUUCGUUCCUGUCUCCUGUAUUGUUGUUUAUAUCCUGAAGACUACGAAAUUCCUAAAAGGGAAUUGAUUGAUUAUUGGAUUAGUGAAGGAUUUGUAUAUGAUUUUGAUGAUGGAUGUGAUUUUAUUGAUGACCUUCUUCAAGCAUGCUUAUUGGAGGAAGAAGGCGAUGAUCAUGUAAAGAUGCACGAUAUGAUUCGUGAGAUGUCAUUAUGGAUAGCGUGCACGGUAGACAAGGAGGAGGAGAACUUUCUGGUUCGCGCUGGAGUUGAAUUGACCGAAGCACCAAAGUUUGAAGAAUGGGAAGGUGCCAAACGGGUAUCUCUGAUGGGAAAUGGAAUUAGGAGCUUAUCGGAAAUUCCCACGUGUCCGCGCCUCUUAACUUUACUUCUGGGUGGAAAUCGGAUUGAGGAGAUUACUGAUGGCUUCUUUCAAUCGAUGUCUUCUCUUAGAGUAUUAAGUCUAAGAGGAAAUUUUCCCCUAAGAACACUACCUUCAGGGAUUUCAGGUUUGGUUUCAUUACAUCAUCUUGAUCUAUCAUCGACUAACAUAACUGGGUUGCCGCAAGAGCUGAAGGCGUUGGAGAAGUUGAGAUAUUUGAACUUGGACUAUACACGGUUUUUGUCUAUAAUUCCACAUCAAUUGAUAUCUGGUUUUUCAAAGUUGGAGGUACUCAGGUUGCUUUCACGCGGUCGCUGGAGCGUAAUAGAAGGUAACGUUCUAUGUGAUGAUGCUGAACCUUUGAUGAAGGAAUUGCUGGGUUUGAAGCAUUUAAAUGUUUUAAGCUGGACCUUCCGAAGUUCACUUGCUGUCCAAAAGUUUUUGAAAUAUCCAAAGCUGGUGAGCAUCACUCAAUCUGUAAUGGUUUGCCAAUGUGAAAGUCCACCGUUCAAUGUCUUACAUCUAGCAUACAUGGAGAAUCUUCAGGAGUUACGCAUUUCAGACAGUAAUUUGGAAGAGAUGAAGACUGACAGCACAGAAGAGGUAAAGAAACUUUUUCAAAGUGGUUUCCGCAGUCUCGACAGAGUUGUCAUAUGGAGUUGCCAAAAAAUGAAAGACUUAACGUGGCUAGUUUUUGUUCAAAUUCUCAAGCAGCUGCGUAUAGUCUUUUGUACAGAAAUGGAAGAAAUAAUUAGUGUUGAUAAAUUGAGAGAUAUUUCGAAGAUAAUCGGGUCAGAGCAUAACUUUUUUGCACAACUCGAAUCUCUAACCAUAAAGUGGGGAAGAAAUUUAAAGAGCGUUUACCCGAAUCCCCUGCCCUUUCCAAAGCUGAAGAAAAUUGAAGUACGUGAAUGCCCACAGCUGAAGAAGCUCCCACUCAAUUCCAGCAGCGCGAAGGAACGUCGAGUUGUCAUCGAGGGGUCGAAAAAAUGGUGGGAAGAGCUACAAUGGGAGGACCAAGCCACCCAAAAUGCUUUCUCUUCCGGUGUCGUACUUGGGGAUGAUUUUCAUUAAUAUGUUUGAAUAUGUAUUUCUUUUCUUUUUCUUUUUUUUUUUAAUUUUCAUUAGAUUUAAUUGCAUCUUGUUGUUGUUGUCUGGUGUGUCAAUCGUUAUCUAUUUUCAGUUAAUAAAAUUUCAGCAGUGGAUUCUUGGUUUUAGAAUCCUCCCACUGGAAAGAAUUUCUCCUUUGGCUUGAAUGCGACCUUUUUACUCGUCGACAAAAUUGUAUUUGUCGCUUAAGUCUUGUUUGUUUUAAAAUGCUGGCAUAUUUAUAGAGUGGGAACUCAGAUGCUGAACUCAUAGUAAAUAUUUAUUUAAUUUGUUAUAAUUAUAUUUGGUGAGAUAUUUAUUCAAUAAUUGCCCUAUCACUUUGUGCAUGAUCACAGAAUUUUGUACUUCCGUCUGUGAAAUAACUUUUGGAAAAGGAAAUUAAUUUUUUUAAGUAACGGUAAAUAUUUUAAAUUUUUAUUUUAAAUUUUAUUUUAAAUAAUAUAGUAUGUAAUGUGUCAUUUAUUUAGUGAUUGAUAAUUUAAUAUAGGAUUUAAAUAAAUUAAUUAUGCUAUUUUAUUAUUUAAUUAAUAAAUAUUAUAUAAUUUAAAAUAGAUUUUUGAGAUAAAAAUUAUAAAAGUAAAAUUCUACUCAACAGACUAAAUUUAAAAUGAUGUGAUUGGCAGGUAAGACUUAAGAAUUAGACAAAAUUUCUCAUUCAACAGCUUGUAGAAAAUUUAUACACUAGGCCUUAGCUAAACUUGGACUUGUCGUAUGUUUGAAGUAUUCGACGAUAAUCAUAUCUGCAUUUUGUGAAAUAAUUAAGAUUUUUUAUUUUUGGUUUGUUUAGGGCUUUUCAUCGGUCUUCGUCUUGGUCUUUGUCCUGGUCUUGGCGUCUUGCUAUCAAAUCAAGUGUUCUCUUCUCCCAUCCUCUAAUGAAAGUGCAGGGCCUCAAUUAUUUGUGCUGAGCUGUUUGUUACUGCUAUCACUUUAGAGGUUGAUGCUAAUGUCCAAAGGUCACAUUUAAUUUGCUUGAAUGCGACCUUUAUUUUGGUUGACAAAGAUUAUUUGGUUGCAAAGAUUAUAAUUAACAACAAGCUAAUAUCUAUAUAGUAGAGAGAGAAAUAACAAAUUCAAUGUUGGUAAAAUUUUAUCUUCCCUUCACUGCUCUCCUUUGCUGCAAUCAAGCUACAGUUGUAAAGUGUUUGAUAAACACUAAUUGUUGUGUCUUGAAAGAUAUGUUGAUAUAAUUUUUCACUUGUAUAAUAGAGAAUCUAUUAUGUUAUUAUUAAUAAUUUCGUCAAAAUUAUUAUUUAAAAUUUUAUAUUUAAUAAAUAUUAUUAACUUUUGUUUUAUAGUUACAAUUUUUUUUUUUUUUACAACAACUGUUGCUUAAAAAUUAUAACACUUCAAUUCCAAACAUACCUUAAGUCUAUAAGGCAUAAGUUUUCACUCUUCAGAAAGGUGUUUGAUGGAAAUGUAAAGAAGUUCGAUGAAAUGUCUCACCUACACAACCAAGCCACUUAACAUUGCAGUCUUAUAAUACGAAUUCCUGCCUUCUCUUCCAUUUUCACAAACAUAAUUCUUUCUUUCUCACUUUAUUUUCUUCCUUGAAAUUUUUGUUAACAAAAAUGGGUAACAUCAUUCUCAUGCGUGCUUCUUAUCACCAGACUCAAUUCUUGCAGUUUUAUUUUAUUUUAUUUUAUUUUUCCUUCGUGGAGAUGCUAAAAUAUAUAUGAGAUCUAAAAAGCUAAUCUUGAUGAGUUGCAGAAUCCAAUGCAGAAUUUGAAAGUUACAAAAGAUUAUAAAUACUAUUUUAACUUGUAAGCUUCCAUUGCUAUACAGUGAGGUAUGUCUAGAUAUCAUUUUGGUCUUUUAUAUAUUGGGUUCCAGUGAAAGACUUUUGUUCUAGUUGAAUUUAAUUUUGUCUUUGUAUUUACAGACAAACUAUUAGGGACAUUUAUCAUACAUAUUUGGCUAGUUCGCCGUGGAAAAAUAAUAAUAGUUGAAAAGACAUAGGGUACUUUUUAUUUUCCUUUAUAUUACUAAUAGAUUUCCCACGCGCAACAGACGAAGUCAUUGCUGCUUCAAUAAUUGCCCUAUCACUGUGUUCAUCAUCACAAAUUUCUUUAUUACGUUUGUGAAAUAACCUUAGCAUAACAAAAUUACUCCUCCUUUUUAACUAAUAAUAGAUAUCUCAAAUUUUAUUUUCAGAAUAUGGUAUGUAAUGUAAGUGAUUGAUAGUUCUUUAUAAAAUAUAUAAAUAAAUUAAUAGUGUUUUCUUAGUGUCUAAUAUAUAUAAAUCACUUGCUCCAUAUAUUGCACUAUUGAUAUGGGCUAAAGUUUUAUACUAUGAGACCCAAUUUCUAUAAUUUACACUAUAAGUUACAAGUAUUUAGGAAAAUACUAUUGCAAAUCAGAAGGUAUUAUCUAUUUUAUACCUAAAGCAUUUCACUAUUUAAGACUAGUAAAACUUCUAUAUUAUUAUAAUAUUUGAAUCAAACACCAAUAAGCGAGUAAAUCAGGUGGAAUGAGAAUGUUCUAACUUAACCAAGGUCCUCGGUUUGAAACUUAGAAAUGCAACUACAUUAAAUACUUAUUGGGAGAGAUUUGCCGCUUUAGUGGUCCUAUCCCGCUUGAAUCUAGAUUAGUCGGGGAUCUAAUGUGGUCUUUGGAUACUAGAUGAUUUAAAAUACCGAUAAUAUUGGAACCAAACUAAUUUACAAUUAUGAAGAUGUUAUAAUUUAAUAGAGGCAUAGUAACAAACUAUUAAUAGAGCGUAUAAAAUUUAAUGUAUAAACAAAAUUCUAUAAUUUACACUAUAAGUUGCAAGUAUUUAGGUCAAUACUAUUGCAAAUCAGAAGAUAUUAUCUAUUUUAUGCCGAAAAUAUUUCCACUAUUUAAGGAUAGUAAAACUUCUAUAUAAUUAUAAUAUUGGAACCAAACACCAACAAGCGAGUAAAUCAACUAGAAUGGAAAUGUUCUAACGUCAAGGUCCUCGGUUCAAAACUUAGAAAUGCAACUACAUUAAAUAUUUAUUGGGAGAGAUUUGCCGCUCUAGUAGUUCUAUCCGGGUCGAAUCUGGAUUAGUCGGGAAUCUAAUGUGGUCUUUGGAUACUAGAUGAUUUAAUGUACCAAUAAUAUUGGAACCAAACUAAUUUACAAUUAUGAGGAGGUUAUAAUUUAAUAGAGGCGUAGUAACAAACUAUUAAUAGAGUGUAUCAAAUUUAAUAUUGGAAUCCGAUGAUUGGUUGCAACAUAAGAUAUUUGUAAGCUUAGUUAAAGGUUCAUUAAAAAUUAUAGAGAUAUAUAAUUUCGCAGUCGAUGAAGCCGUGCAUGAGGUUAAGGCAAGUGAUGGAAUGACUUGCGUUACAAAAGAGGUAUGUGAAGUUGCACUAUAAAAAUAAAAUAAAUUUGUAUUUUCAAGUAGUGAAGGUGUAGUUAGUUUAUUUGCGGUAGCAGUUUCACAGCUGACAGAUGAACAAAGAGUGGUUGCUUGUCAAAUGGGCUUUGGUAGUUUGCGACAACUGAACCUUGGCAAGCUAAAAAGGAAACUUUGUGGCUAGUUAAUUGAGAUGAUUGAUACUUUGAGGUACAUUUUAGAGUUGAAUGGUAUUAGCUUUCAAACAAGAUCAUCAAAGAAACUCUACCAACUAGGAAAUUUAAACUUAAUCUAUGCUCCGCAAAUUCGAAUAUUCUCUAAUAUGAAACUACUUUUAUGUGUUUUAUUAUUCCUAGCUUUUACCGACUUGGUAACGUUGUUAUGGAAGCACGACAACUAUUAUGUCCGUGUAAUUUUUAUUGUAUCUUUUGUUAUGUCAUGAUAUCGAAGCUUAGUUUUAUGACUCUAACUACUAAGAACUGCAAUUGCAGCAUCUUUUGAAUAUUACAUAUGUGCUUGUAGUAUCUCGACGGAUUAAAACCUGCUAUUUAAGUUCUUCUACCCCCUCCCCCCCUUCAUUCUUUCAUUUAUACUUGCUGCACUAUUUACUUCGCACUCUGUAAAGCCAGAUGAAAGCUUGUUCAUUUAUGUUCACUUGCAAUUCAAAAGCACAGUUUAUUUCAACUGUCAAAUUGACAACUUGCACGUAUAGAUUUCAGUCGAAACAAGGUUAUUGGUCGAUCAAGAAAUUGAAUCCAUAUGGCCGUUCCAGCGUUAUUCAACUACCUAAUAUCAAAUAUAUAAAUUAAUUCAACCCACUUCUGUGUCAAAGGCAUGGAACAAAUUAUGAAAGAUUUUUCAGCUAUCAUAAAUUCGAACGAGUGUAGUUUGUAUCCUUUCGAACUUAGACAGAUUUUCCUUCCAUUAACCUUAUAGUGUUAGUAAUCCUAUUACUUGUUUUUAAAGCUUGAAUAGUAUACCGAAAUUUUUGGUUUUUGCAACAUAAACUUGUAUGUAAUGUACAUUUUAUAGUUCUUUACAAAUUAAUUGCUGCUAAAAUAAUUGUUUCGACUACUAUAUUUAUUGUUAUAAUAGAUAAACAUUUUCUUGCAACUCAAACAGUUCCAAUGGCAUGAUCUGCAUCCCCCGUUUGCCUCUUGGGCUACGAACCUGCUUAACAGCUGCACCAUCUUGCUCCUUUUCAUCAAACGGCAACUUCGCUGCAGACAAAAAGAGGGGGUACACUGCCCAGGGGCACCAUAAACGCAGCCCAAAAAGAUGAUUUUGUCUUUCCAUGUCUUAGUAUUUUAACCAAAAAUAAUAAUAAUAAUUCUUUACAUCAUCAAUGAUUGCACUUGUAAGCCAGGCAAUAGUUUUUUUAUUAAAUAAAAAAUUAAUGUUAAAUUUUUUUUUUUUUUUUUUUUUUUUUUAUCUAGCUAUCAUUGACUUAAUAUUUUGAAUCUUCAUCCAAAGUUAAGGCACAAAACUUUUAUUCUAAAUAAAUAUUCUCAAUAUAAAUUUAUCACUUAAAUAAUAAAUAAUAAGAUUUAACAUUAAUUCUGUCGUUACUGAAAUGAAUUGUAAAUUUUAUAUGACGUGUAAACGUAUCAUUAUGUUCUUGAUAUUUGACAUAUGAAUUAUAAAGCAACAAAUGUAUCAUAUUUUUAUUUCGGUAUUGUGCUUCUCCAUAUUUGCUUAAUUCUUUUCGUUGUACUCAUUGCUUCUCUUCCUCUUUUCGUCAACGACAAUGGGUAACCUAAUCUCAACCUUCUUACCAGCAGACUUAUUUGAUCGAAUUUCAAACUGCGUUGGUGAACAAGCAAAAUAUGUAUGGGGUCUCGAAAAAAAUCUUCGGAUCUUGGAGACUGAAUUGCACAAAUUGACUCGAGCAAGGGCCGAUCUGAAGACCAGGGUUGAGGUCGAACAACAACGACCUCGAACCAGACGAACGAACCAGGUCGCAGGGUGGCUUGAAGAUGUGCAAAAUCUGGAAACUGAAUUUGCCGAGCUGGAACGAGUCAGAGCUCAAGAAAUGGAUAGAUUGUGCCUUGGAGGCCUCUGUUCCAAAAACUUCGUUUUAAGCUACAAUUACGGGACUAAGGUGGUCGAGUUGACGGAUCGAGUGAUCAAUUUAAAGAAAGACGGAGAAAAAAUUGAAGUCGUUGUUGAGAAGGCGCCGGAUGGUGCAGCAAUUGAAUUACCUCUUGAUCACACAGUUGUUGGUCAAGAACUAUUACUUGGUCAAGUUUGGAGAUGUAUCACUGAUCAGGAAAAUAACAGGGGAAUUAUCGGCUUGUAUGGUAUAGGGGGAGUCGGCAAAACUACCCUUUUAAAACAAGUCAACAACA